GGGAGUUCAUGAUGGCUGGGAGUUUGUUAAGAGGGAGAUAGUAAAAGCACAACGUCAGGCAAUACCAAUGAGACGGAAACAUGGAAGGUGCCUAAAGAAGCCAGGGUGGCUAUCUAAAGAACUUUUAACUGAGUUAAGAUUAAAAAGGAUGUGUACAAAAAUGGAAAAGGGGAAACCACCAAAGAGGAAUUCAAACAAAUAGCCAGCACGUGUAGACACAAAGUCAGAAAAGCUAAAGCACAGAAUGAACUCAGGCUUGCUAGAGAGGUUAAAAGCAACAAAAAAGGCUUUUAUGGGUAUGUUCGUAGCAAAAGGAAGAACAAAGAAACAGUGGGGUCACUCAGAGGAGAAGAUGGUGAAAUGCAAACAGGGGACACAGAAAGGGCUGAACUCCUCAAUGCCUUCUUUGCCUCAGUCUUCUCCGAUAAAGAAAACAAUGCCUGACCUGAAGAAUUUGGAGCAAAUGAUUCAGCAAAGGAAACACAGCCCAGAAUAACUAAGGAGAUAGUACAAGAAUACUUGGCUAGUUUAGAUGUAUUCAAGUCUCCAGGGCCAGAUGAACUGCAUCCAAGAGUAUUAAAAGAACUGGCAGAUGUGAUCUCAGAACCACUGGCAGUCAUCUUUGAGAAUUCCUGGAGAACAGGCGAAGUCCCGGAAGACUGGAGGAGGGCAAAUGUUGUCCCUAUUUUCAAAAAGGGGGAAAGAGAGGACCCAAAUAAUUACCGCCCAGUCAGUCUGACAUCAAUACCAGGGAAGAUUCUGGAGCAGAUCAUUAAGCAAACAGUCUGUGAGCACCUAGAAAGGAAUGCUGUGAUCACCAAUAGUCAGCAUGGAUUUAUGAAAAAUAAGUCAUGUCAGACUAACCUGAUCUCGUUUUUUGACAGAAUUACAAGUCUGGUAGAUGAAGGGAACGCAGUGGAUGUAGCCUACCUUGAUUUCAGUAAGGCAUUUGACAAGGUGCCCCAUGAUAUUCUUGUAAAGAAGCUGGUAAAAUGCGGUCUUGACUAUGCUACCACUCAGUGGAUUUGUAACUGGCUGACUGACCGAACCCAAAGGGUGCUCAUCAAUGGUUCCUCUUCAUCCUGGAGAAGAGUGACUAGUGGGGUGCCACAGGGUUCUGUCUUGGGCCUGGUCUUAUUCAACAUCUUUAUCAACGACUUGGAUGAUGGACUCAAGGGCAUCCUGAUCAAAUUUGCAGAUGACACCAAACUGGGAGGGGUGGCUAACACCCCAGAGGACAGGAUCACACUUCAAAACGACCUUGACAGAUUAGAGAACUGGGCCAAAACAAACAAGAUGAAUUUUAACAGGGAGAAAUGUAAAGUAUUGCACUUGGGCAAAAAAAUGAGAGGCACAAAUACAAGAUGGAGGACACCUGGCUUGAGAGCAGUACAUGUGAAAAGGAUCUAGGAGUCUUGGUUGACCACAAACUUGACAUGAGCCAACAGUGUGACGCGGCAGCUAAAAAAGCCAAUGCAAUUCUGGGCUGCAUCAAUAGGAGUAUAGCAUCUAGAUCAAGGGAAGUAAUAGUGCCACUGUAUUCUGCUCUGGUCAGACCUCACCUGGAGUACUGUGUCCAGUUCUGGGCACCACAGUUCAAGAAGGACACUGACAAACUGGAACGUGUCCAGAGGAGGGCAACCAAAAUGGUCAAAGGCCUGGAAACGAUGCCUUAUGAGGAACGGCUAAGGGAGCUGGGCAUGUUUAGCCUGGAAAAGAGGAGGUUAAGGGGUGAUAUGAUAGCCAUGUUCAAAUAUAUAAAAGGAUGUCACAUAAAGGAGGGAGAAAGGUUGUUUUCUGCUGCUCCAGAGAAGCGGACACGGAGCAAUGGAUCCAAACUACAAGAAAGAAGAUUCCACCUAAACAUUAGGAAGAACUUCCUGACAGUAAGAGCUGUUUGACAGUGGAAUUUGCUGCCAAGGAGUGUGGUGGAGUCUCCUUCUUUGGAGGUCUUUAAGCAGAGGCUUGACAACCAUAUGUCAGGAGUGCUCUGAUGGUGUUUCCUGCUUGGCAGGGGGUUGGACUCGAUGGCCCUUGUGGUCUCUUCCAACUCUAUGAUUCUAUGAUUCGCAAUGACCAAAACAAGCAUGUAAAUUGUAAAGAAUAUUGAGAGAUAUUGAGAUGAUGGAUACUCCUCUUAACACCCAUAAGGUGUUAAAAUAGAGGAGUCAAAAAGGUGCUAGAUUAAGUAAAUCAAUCUAUAGCUUCUAAGAUCCCCACCAAGUAAUCAAAGAAUCUCUCUCUAAUUCUUCAAUAAAGUUCACAGUUUUCCUUAAAGAUAAAUAAUUACACUGCUUCUUCAUUAAUUUGUCGGUAAAUUCUAUUAGACUUUGAAUCUUUAUAUCCUGGAAAUGUAUCUGAAGCUAAAUGAACCUCAUUACACACUUUUCAUGAAUGUGAUAAUGGGGGUAAAUGCACAAAUCACAGCCUAUCAUAGUUAAUUGCUGAACUCCCAAUAUUACAAACUUUAAAUUUGCACUACUAUUUAAAAUGAUAAAUUUAUUAAUGGGAGAGUUUCUCUGCUGAAGUCUACAUACAUUGGUAGCAGUCUGGGGCACCUUCUUAAUGCAGAUUUUAAAUGGUAUAGAGAGAUAAACACAACAAGAUUUUUAUCAAGGUUUUUGAUAAAUGAAUGUCUUUGCAAAAUUUUACAGCUAAAAAGGUUAUUUACUUAAAGAGAGAUUUUUCUGUACGUGUAAAGGUCAGAUUUUUUAGAUUGCUGUGAAAUUGCUUCUGCCUUUUAGCAAAUCUUCCAAGACGGCUUUUCUCCUUGCAGUGUUGACAAGGACAUGGAAGGACAUGGCCUAAAGAAAUCAAAUGAGCAGCAUAAACUCUUGUCUGGAAUCUUCUGGAACAAUAGAGCAUGAUCCCGCCAAAAUCAGCUAGGCUCUACCAAGAGCAGAUGAUGCGGCAAAAUAGUUCCUCAGCUGCUGUAGUUUAGAUUCCAGGCAUGUUGUGUAUGGUGUGUGUGUGUACUGCAUGACAGAAUCUCCCAUAUAUACAUUCUGCUCUGCUUUCCCCCCCUGAGGAUAUUCAAGGGUAUGCAGUACCGGCACCUUUGUCCCCCCCCCCCCAAAUGUUAAAAGUGUGGCACUUACUUAAUGGUGAGUACCAGCACAGUUAUUUUUAAGCGCUGCAUUAGGGUGCAGGGGGAGAGAGGCUAGUUCUAGCACUCUCACAAACAUGCCAUCAUAUAGGAGAGACAAAAAUACAAGCCUUUUGAGAUCUUGCUCAGUCUGCAUCCUUAUUUGAAUUCUUUUAAAUGUGUUUUUAUUUUUUAUUGUUUUCCCACCUUAGCCUCCUUUGGGAGGAAUAGCAGGAUAUAAAUUUAAUAAAUAAAUAAAAGGGAUUAGACAGAUCCCAAGCAUACAGUUAAAGCACCAUUAAAGCACCUAUAGUUCUUCUUUUUAAGGGUGCUGGGAAUUAUAGCUCUGUGAGGAAUAAACUACAGUUCCCAGGAUACUUGGGGAGAAGCCAUGUGCAUGUCUGCAUCCCCCCUUCUUCUGUUGUUUCCUUCUGUCUAGUUCAAGUGUUAAACCACUUCAGGAGGAAUAUAUCACACCUGUUCUUUGUAAAGUGCCGUCUUUAUAUAGGUGGCGCUGUAUGGAUAAAACAAAAAAUGCCGCAGGGCUCUUCUUAUGUUGUAUCUUAACUUCACUCAAUGCCUUGACUCUGCAUUAAAUUUAUAUUCCACGCUUGUUCCCAAAGCAGUCCAGGAUGGCAAACCCCAAGAUAUAAACUUAUUAAAGACAUAUUUAAAACAAUUCCAGUGUAGAUGGUACACAUGGGAAAAAACCAUCUAAUCUGAAAAGGCUUGUUGAAAGAGGAAAGUCUUUAGUAGGCACCAAAAAGAACAGUUCUGUAGACCACAGCAACUCCACACACACACACACACACACACACACACACACACAUCCCUGCAACCUGUGCUAAUACUAAGCUAAUACAGGUGGUAAUACAGGUGGUAAUACAGGUGGACAGAGCUGGGUCAGGAUCAACUCCCAGCUCACCCACCCAGGUCUCGGUAGUAUAUGCCAAAUCAGCAUUCUCAUCCAUUAUCAAAUUACUUGAUUCCUUUUGGUAUUUUUGUUAACUCUGCUAGUUUGGACCAGUGUGGCUAGACCUACAGAAACCCAUCCUCUAGCAGCAUAGUUAGGAAUGGAUUGGGAAAUGUUUCUCUAACAACAUCUGAACUAAAUUCAUCCAUGAAUUCAUGUUCUAGAAUGGCUUAUUCCUCAGACACAGUGAAAUAAUUUGUAGACAAGUAUACAAAUUUAAAGCCUUGACCAAAUAUGAUCCGGAAAGCUGUCUGUGGCAUAGCUGUCAAGUGUCCCUUAUUUGAAGGGACAGUCCCUUAUUCCAGCGCCAUGUCCCGCUGCUGUCCCUUAUUGAUGGAUGUCCCUUAAAUGUCCCUUAAAUGAUGUCCCUUAAAUUUCAAAGGAAGCAGCUCUUCUCCCUCCCUCCCUGCCGGCCAGGGAGGAGGGAGGCUCCAACUGUGUUGCUUGGCUGUGUUGCUCACCCAAUAAGAAGUCUAAGAACGACUGCGGGGUGGAGCUUGCAUGCCUUGUGUGUGGCUAGUUAAUGCAAGCUGCGGGGGUUUUUGAAUGCUGGAUGCCAUUUUGUUGCACGUGCUGCUGCAAACUUUGCAGUGCAAAGCCAGGCCAGGGAGCCAUCUUAAGUUUAGGCUACAUAGGCCUUGUGAUGCAUGUGAUUCAGAUUCUAUUCAGUUGAACCUCUGGUUACAGAGUAGGUUGGACAGUGUUCUUGAAGCUACCAGCAUGAGUUUGACCAGACUGCAGGAGGACAGGAAGACUGGAGUGCCUGGAACAGGUGAGGCUGGAGGUCCCUUAUUUUGGCUGCUGGUCCCUUAUUUUCAAGGCUGCUGGCCCCUUAUUUUCAAAUCUGUAAGUUGACAGCUAUGGUCUGUGGACAAAUGCUGGCUCCCUUGGCCUGAAAGCGAGAUGAGUUUCACACCCCAAUCAAGGGCACCAACUUUUUCCUCACUGUAUUUGAUUAGGGAUUAAUGAAUCUGUGAAUUUUAGUUUCUCUCAGUCUCUUAUUUUUCAAAUCUUAAAUUCAGUUGUUCACACUUCCACAGCAAUUCACAGUUUUAUUCAUGCACCAGCAAUUUGGCAUGAAUUUAUCCAUAGGUGUGUAUAUGAGGUAGCAAAAAUUUAGAAGGUUAGCUGUGUUGGGGGGGAAAAAAGAGAAUUAGAUAAGUUCUCAUUAAAAUGCAAAAAAACCCCAACUAUUUUAUCCCCAUACCUUCUGUGGUUACUGCAUUUGAGUCUUUUUAUUUUGAUAAGGUUUUCCAGGGAUGUUUUUGUAACAUCCUCUUCUCACAACUACUGUGCCUAUCAUUUGUUAUUUCCAAAUGUUCAAGUUCAGUGAAAGUUUGACUAGAUGCUGAAGAUGCUCACAAAUGCCUCUAAUAGAUCUUGCAAGCUGCAGUCUACCGCUACAGUCUGUACAGUGCACUGCACGUAGUGUUUGCACCAUGUCAUGUUUCAGCUGCAGGGUACAAUUUACUUCAAGGGGGGCUCGCAAGUCUCUUAAUAGCAUCACUCCACAUUCAAAGUAAUAACUGAAAAGACAUGGAGUGCAAUUCAAAAGGGCAUCGCUGUGACUAAGUCUCACUUGUGAUACUGUAAAUACUGGAACAUUUUCUGAAUGUGUGAAAUAUUAGAUCAGUGUUGGAUAGAAUAUUCUAUUAAUUGAAAUUACACGUCCUUAUAUUUGUCCAAGCCUGCUUAAAAAUGCAAAACAUUUUGUACCAUCAAGGUUAUUCUGGGAGAGUUUCUGUGCACAUUAAAUUGAGGUUAAAAUGGUUGGUAAGUGCAGGGUUAUAUAGUAAUUGCACCACUGUUCCUGAAACCACAGAUUGCAUACAUUUGCCAAGUCUUCAGAGAGAUUUUUUAGUACAAAUGAGAAUUCAUAUGCAUUCUCGCCUUAAAUUAGAGCUAUCUGAAGGAAUGUAAUAGCAUUAGCAUUUAGGACACUGGUGAUAAAAUCAACCACUGAUAGCAAAUAAUUAUUACUGAACACCAUGCCACUGUUGUCUUCACACAAGAUUUGGCUUAUCACCAGCUCCGCCCCAAACACAUAUAUGAGCCCUCUCUUGCCAAGUCUAAGAUAAAGCUCAUGGGGAAGAAGUAAUGAAAGUGCUAGCCUACUGACUCCUUUGUCCUCUCAUUAUCAAAGGAGGAAGGAUGGAUUGAGAAGUUUGUGAAGGACAAACCAGUUAUAAAAUUCUACCAUGCUACCACGGUAUGCUAGCAGUUGCAGUCCAUGUGAAGCAAUCAUAAAUCACAUUUUCUGCUGUCAGGUCUGAUCUGACAGGAACAGAAGAACAAAGUGGCUGCAAUCUCCUCUUUGGGAGCAGGCAUGUUUGCACAUUCAUGCUAAGCCAUGAUUUGGUGUAGCGUUGUGUGUGAAUGUGGCUGUGGAAUCCAACAAGUCAACUUCCUCUGUGGAGGCAGGAAACAGAAGUAAAAGAUCAACAUACUCACACACACAAAAAUCACCUGCAUAAAACUUUCAGGGGGAGGGGAAUCACCCAAAGAUUAUUUUCUUUAUGAAGAGAGCAAAUGUUUGCAAAUUUCCCCCCUCUGCUUCAGUUCAUCUUUACAUACAUGGCACAGACAUAUGUAUUUGUCUUGAAACUUUGGUUGCUGUUUAAAAAAAAAUAUAGGGGGGGAUGCUAUGAUUUUUCCAAGCAUACAUUAACAAAAGAAGAAAGGGGGGGGGGAGCAAACAGUCUGUUACCAAUACUUACUACCAUUACAAUUUUUAUUGUGACAACUGAAGUUUAACAAAAACAUAGUUUAGCAAAGAAGAGAAAAAUAAGAUUAUAUCACAAUUCAGACUGCUGGGUUUCAUAACAGUAAGAAUUUCUAGAUUUUAUCUGAUGUCCUAUCAUUUUACUGCUAUUAAUUCAAGUUAAAUUACCUUUUAAUACUGCUGCUCAAGCAUUACAAUAUCGAGAUUCACCACUGCAAUAUUUUAUAAAUUCAAACUGUUGAAACUUUGUUGAUUACUGCUGCUGAUCUAGCAUAGCUGAUCCAUAGGCAGGUGGUAAUACUAUUUUAAAUGUGCAGUUAUAUCCUGCCCUUUAUGCUGCAUACCCUUAUCAACCUCAAUCUGCUAGCAUUUGCCAUGGCACCUCAUAAACAAAGGGAGAAAGUGCCCAUGGCUGAAUAUAGAUUGGUCUGCCUUAUAGAGCAGCUAUUCCCCAUGUCUGUGUCAUUGUUUCCAUUCAGCUGAAUUAAAAAGCAGAAGAGGAUGGUGCUUUCAAGAAAUGAAGAAGGAAGAGAGUGCGAUAUCCACAGGCGGAGUCUGGCUCCAUGUAACUCACUGUGAGCAUCUUAAUUGACGGGCAAGCAUGCCAAAGUUUCACAAGCACUAAUUUGUUAUGAAGCACGGGGUUUCACUUCCUUCAAAUUAGAGAUAAUUGGAAAACAUCAUCUAGGAAUCACAUACUAUUUACAGCCAGUAGCACCACAAAUUAAUGGACAUGUUCAACUUUACCUUGUGAACGAUUCUUGAAUUAUCAUGAACUGAAUGCUUAGAGAAGAACACCCAAAUGCCAUGGCUCCAAUCCAAGGACUUUUAUGCACCUAAAGCUGCAAUACUAUACACACUGAUCUGGACUGAAGUACCAUUGAACAGAACAAGAUUUACUCUCAGAGAAACAAGCCCUAGAUUGCAAUGUUUACCCUCUUGAAAUACACAGGGCCACUUAGUUGCAGCUAACUUCCUCCCCCCACCUCUCCCCAUAGUCAUUUCCCCCUCCCCAUAACAGAAAUGAAGCGUAACUCAACGAUGCAUUUGGACUGCAGUCCUUUAUACACUUACUUGAGAGUAAGUCCCUUUGAGAUUUACAUGGCUUACUUCUGUAUAGAAACAGACAGAAUUGCUCCAUUAGUCAUCUUCAAUGCACCAGACUCAAUUAUUUCUCUUGUAGGGCAAGUCAGUGGAUUAAUCACCACCUGCCUCCCAGUUUAAAAAACACAAGGGCUUAUAUUCUCCCUCUUGCCACCUUUAUGUAGCUUUAAUUGAAUCAGCAAGUAGGCCACAUCCACACCAUACAACUUCGAUACUACUUUUAACAGCCACAGUUUUCCCCGAAUAAUUAUGGCAGCUGUAAUUUGUUAAGGGUUCUGUGAGUUGUUAGGAGACCCCCUAGUCCCCUUGCAAAGCAGUUUAACAAUAAAGCCCUCUUUACAGCGAACUCUGGGAAUUAUAGCUGUGGAAUGGAAACAGGGGUUUCUUAACAACUCUCAGAACCCUUAACAAACUACAGCUCCCAGAAUUCUUUGGGUGGAGCUGUGGCUGUUAAAGUGGCAUUAUAGUGUUUUAAAUGCAUAGUGUGAAGGUGGCCUUAGAUUCCAUACACUAGACAGAUUCCCAUUUGCGGUUCCAUCUUAACCCAGCCUCCUAUCCCUGCUGAUAUAACAUGAAGUUUUAUCAUUAACCACAAGAUAAGCAGGAAGUAAGAACAUGGGCUGAUCUUGAAAGCAAUAAAGUUAAUUGAAAUUGCCAGGAUAUUUGUUGAAAGAGACUGAGUUGCAAUCGGGAGAACCUGGUCGUUCGGAUGGGCACUGAUGCGUAACAUAACAUUGUAUGGUGGUAUAUUCAAGUGCUGUAUGGAAUAAUUGAGGCAGCACUUAAAUUCCACAGUAGACAAUCAGUUUUUUUUGUGGUGUAUCCCCUGCCCUGCAUAUAUCCUUACAAAGACAACAAUUUAAAAAAUUGGGAUCUAAAUUCAAAGCACAGCCUAGAGUUGUUAAUAGAUUUCCACCCUCUUUCUCUCUAGCUUCUUUCCAGUGCAUGUGUUCAGCUUGCAAGGAAGGGCAGUCAAAAAUGAAAUGAGAUUUUUGCCACUAUUCUCACCCUGCUAAUUUGUUUUGAAAUACAAAAGCCACAUACACAUGGGAUGCUUAAUAUAUAACAAUGAAAAAUAAAUGACAUACAUUUUUCAUAAUGUUUUGGGAACCAGCAUAAUACCUAGCAGGGCCAACAUUUAUUUAAAGGAAUAAAUCUGUGGAGCCCCACUAGCAGAUUAUAUCAUCAAACAGAACAAGUUUAGACAUAAAAUAAAAAAUGUAAUUUAAAAUCAAAUAAUGUGGCCAUUAUUUUAGAAAUGGGAAGCAAACAAAUAUAAGGUCCAGAGGAUAAAUGGCUGAACUGAAAUGAAUUUGUUCAAGGUAAACAGACUAGCUAUGUAAUAGUAUGUAUAUGAUUGACUGGGUGUACCAGUGAAGAAAAAAUGAAUAUUGGCUUUAGCCGUUAUCAGGAGCUCCUAUUUCUGCGUCUGGGAUCAUCUCACAUUCCUGAUACAAUCCCUGUCCCCCAAAACCUGAAGUUUUCACAUGUAGAUAGAAUCAGAAGACCCUGUUUUACAAACCUUGCAUUAGAAACAUUAAUGCAUUAAUGCAAACUAAUGUAAUACAAAGCAUUUUAAGAGUCAGUGUGUUUAAACACUGGGAGACGGUACUUUUGUUUUACGAGCACACACAACAAAACAAAAUGAAAUCAGCAUACAAUUUAUUUCCUACUUGGGUGAAUGUUUAUGCACAAGCUAUUGUUUAACAGCACAGGCUGAAAGCCAGCCAGCUGCAAUGUAUUUUUCUCAGCAGUUGAUUUCACUCCAUGGAUGUGUGCACAGCGCUUGAUGCCUUUGGUGACAAAUGUGUCUUACGCCCCACAGCCAUGCAUGGUCCCAGUGUAAUUGGCAUAUACGUUACCCAACAUGGUUUAACAAUUUCUUUGUUAAAUACCUUUUUCUCUGUGCCGAUGUCUCUAAAUUGAAAUCAAUGAAGAGAAGCACAAGGGCACCAUAUGAGUUCUUAUGCUUGCAACAAGAUGCACCAGGCAUUCCAAAUGAUGCUAGAAGUUUAUAAAAUGUUUCUAGCUUAUUAUAUGGGAUGGUAAAAAAAUGUAGAAAUAUGAACCACCAAAACCAAAAUUCACAGUUCUAUGGCAGUUAUUUUACUUAGUGAGGAUAUUCGAUUGUUUCACAAUAAUCUACAUAUUUCUCCUCACAAAAACAACAGCCAAGCCUUGGUCAAAUAAUCACACAAUCAAACCAAACUGGCUGUCUCUCAUUAGGUGUUUGUAGAGAACAGAAGUCAUUAAGGUCGUUGAUGGCCGCUAAAUACUUCAAGUCAAUGGGAUUUGGGUCACCUCCCACUGGCCUAGUAGAAACACAUCUGUGAAGUUGGCUGAAGAGCAAUAGAGAUUUCAGACAUCUGACAAGAAACAUCUUUAAAUGUAUUUCAAGUGUCUGCUGUUGAUUUGGGAGGAUGCUAUUUCAGAAGGACAAGUGUAAUGGGUAUAUGUCUAUGGGGCUGUCCCUAAUGGUCACUUGUCAAACACAUUGAGGAGGGCAUACCCUUAAUGUAGUCUUUGCCCCAAGUGGGGAGAGUCCAAGACUGAAGGUCUGAAGGCAGGGGCGAGCAAUGCACUUCCUUUUUGUUUUUCAUGGUUGGACCAUUUCUGGUGAAGUUUGGACUGGUAGCAACAAUUCCCCGCUGUAAGGUUGGUGGGCCCCUCCUCAGAGACUGAUGGAAUAUGAUGUACUCCUGUGCGCUCUGGAGGAUUUUAUAGUGAGAAAACUGAUUAUCCGUUCAAAGCUCUGGUCAUACUACUCUGCAUUUUCUUCUCCUCAGUCUGUGGUAACCAAUGAAUGUGGCACAACGAAAAACAUGCAACAUCCUGAUGUCAGCCAUAUUGUGAAAUGCUAUUGGGGGGUGGGGUUGAGAAUGACAUGUAUGUGUGCCAUUUAUUUAUUUAUUUGCACUAGCUGCGAAUUUCUGGCGUUGUCUUCUCUUUAAAAGGAAUGCCUUCAGAUGUAGCUGGUACAGUUUGUAGGAAUUUGGAAGCGUUCCCAGGCACUAAUCUUAGUGAUGCUGUCAAAGUUUGAUGAUCCUGAUUCUCAUCGUGACUUUGCUAUACCCACAAUAUUCUUAAUGCAUUUUGAGGCAAUCUCCCAACAUUCCUGGAAAUUAUAUUUUUUUCCCUGCAUGCAAAUGAAAUGGAGAAUAUUGCAAUUGUUUUGUAGUAGGCACACUACUGUGUUGAGCACAGGUUGGCACAUGGUCAUUCACUGCUGAAACUUAACCGACUCUAAAAUGUACAUAUAUUUAAUGGCUGAGCCAUAGGCAGCUAUGAUUUGUCCCCAGCUACAUCAGUACCCUUGUGAGAAAAGGAGAGCAGGUCAACCAGAGUGCCCCCCCCACCCCCACCCCCCCGGUUUAUCCUCCUGUCCCAUGAACCUUUCACUGUCAGCUGGUGAAAGCAUUUUUUCUCCCAGACUACCUCUGCCAAACAGCCUGAAGCUCUAUUAGGUCUCUUUGAGAAUAUAUCAAGGUAAUGUGCAGUUUGACUUUUAGACAUGGGGUGAGUGAAAUAAUAGGUCUGAUGAACCAAAGUCAAAAGCUUGCUAAAAGUCUAAGAAAUUGUUCUUAGGACAAAAAAUGUUUUAAGAUAGAACUAGUUGCAUGCAAACAAUCAAACUCACAGGAUCAAUAGAGUAGAGAAAAUAAAACAGGUAAACAAAACACAUCAGUGAAACUGUUUCUUAGCAGCUACAAUUCUGCUUAAGCAAAGGUCUUACAGUUAGACUUCUUGAAAUAUUACUGUAAGUUGCAGCUCCCUCCAGCUAGCAAUAUUCCAGUGUCAACAUGUUCUUUUGUGUUUUUUUACCCUGAGAUCCACACCAUCUAAAAGUCAUCCCAAGUAAUAGGCUAAUUAUACCCUCUAGCUACCUUUGAUCAUAACAAGUUCUCACUCCUGUCAUCAACCAUGUUGCAGCAUUCUGCACUGGUCUUUCUCUGGCUUGAUUCAGAGCCCAAAACCUCCCAGAAUACCAAGCAGCCACUCUGGCUCCACUAUGCCAGGAAGGAUGCUUGGGAGCAAUCAUGUCAACUGCUCAUUUCAUCUCCAUAGCCAGACCAGAGCAAUGGGUGUGUGUAUGUGUGUCAUUGUCAGCAGCAGUACAUCAAGGCAACUGUUUUGUUUGGCUCUCAGUUCUGAAUUUCUGAAGAAGGCACAGAAAAGGCAAUAUUUGGAUUGGCCAUGGCGAUUUUAAAAGGCAUGCAUGUGAAGAAUUCACAGUAUAAAUGAGCGCAGAUACUGAGACUCCCUGCUUUUGCAACCUUAAUGUGAAUAUUCUGAACGGUGAGCUCUGCACACCUUGAAUGAAAUAAGAGGGGAAAGUGGGAAGCAGAAAUAAAGAUCAGAGAGUUCAUACCUAAAUGAUGAUCUGAUUCAUGGUCACAUUUAUGUGUUCCAGAAGAAGCUGAAAAUAUACAUCCCCUCUAUAUGUUGGUGCUUGGUUUCAUGAAUUCUAAACAAAGAUGCCUGUGUUGAUGACAAAGCUGCUUGAUUUUGCUUUCUGUCUGACUUAAAUGUAGGCAAAAUGUAAAAUAUUUGAUACUAAGUCUGACUACACUUUAAAGAGCUGAUUCUACUAGUUGAACUAAUAAUAUAUAUAUAUAUAUAUAUAUAUAUAUAUAUAUAUAUAUAUAUAUAUAUAUAUGGUGCUGACUAGAUUGACUUGACUGAUCAUAGCAAACUGAAUUGUAUUUUUGUAAGGCUCUUCAAGAGGCAGCCAAAUAAAUAGCUUUUUCCCUGCUGCAUGGUUUGCUGUUUGCUUAAGCAAAAAUCCAAUUUCUAGAGAAGACUCCACGAGGGCUAAAUUCCCUGCCAUUUACAAGUGUCCCAUUAGAGUAGCUUUCUAUAUGGAAAUAACAUUCCAAGACAAGGAGAGAAACACUAGGUCUGGGGUCCACUGUUCCUGAUGUAUUUUAUUAUUUCUUUUCCAUUUGAAGAGUAGAGCUGUGUUCCCAUGAGAAAGACACAAAAAAGGGGAGGGAGUAAUGUUUGAAUACAAAUGUCUCAAGGAACUGAAGCAUCUUUAAAAGUAAAAUCUCUUUCUUGGUAUGCAUCAAGGACAAGGAGAAAACUGACAGCUUCAGACUCAAGCUGCCUCCUGUUAAAAGCUUUUUAAAUUAGGGAUUCAAUGUAAAACUCCUGCUGGAAAAGCAUACAUGAGAGGUGCCGAGAUCUGGACUUGAUUACUGGUGCUUUCGUAUAUGUAGUGCAAUCAUUUAUUUGAAAACAAGUCCUUUAAAAAUAAAAUGUUGUGAUGGUAUGGCAGUUAGAUGUUCAUGGUUUAGCAGCAAAAAAGACACAUACGUAUGAGUUACCAAUGUUAUCGUGUGCCAAAAGCAAGUUAAAUAACAACAGCUUCCCUUGAAAAAGCAUGGAUGUGCAUUUAAUUUAGAGCUAAGACAAGAUGUAUGUAACAUCCAGUGUCUUCCAUCAUUGCAUAAUUAAUACUGAAGAAACAUGUUUUCACAAGUCUGUUGUGACUUUUUUUUAACAAUGCUGUCUGCUUAACACUGCAAGUCGCACUUAAUUGGAUGUGCUUUUUUAAAAACAUGUAAUUCUUUUUUCUAUCUUUUCUUCUUUUCUUUUCUGGUGAAGGAGUAACUCUACAGGCUUCUGGGAGCAAUUAAAAGAAGGAGGAGGGGAAAAAAAGUUCACAGCCCAAAGGCAUCCCCUAGCCUAGAAUUCUUAAAUGGCAUGUCCUUGCCAAACAGCCACCUGUGACAGAGGAAGUGGGCAAAUGGGUCCUGUUACUUAAACAUGCAGCAGCAUUCCACCAGCUUCAUUUUUCUUACAAUGGAUUUCUGGGCUAAGGAUAUUCAUUCAUUCAAAAAACAAAAAACGCAGCUUCAAAACCAUUGCACCAUCAAGUGCAUGAAGCCAAAUUCAUGGGCAGAGAAAUCCAAAAUGCUGGAGGGAGGAGGGUUCCCAUAUUUCAAGAGAUAAAAUCUGGACAGAAAAAGUUGUUGAGUUUUUUUAGGGCAAUCAUACAAUAACUGCUCCACUGCCGCCAAGGCAGAACCACCCACACCAGAGCCAGAACCAUCCGUGCACGGACACACACACACACACACACACACACAAACCCAACAACCCCAAAUCCAGGACAUUUGCUUUAAAAUGUAAAAUUUCACACACACACACCCCAGAUGGGUAUGUAGAACCCCCCAAAGAGGACAUGUUCGGAAAUUCCCAGAUGUAUGGCAACCCUAAUACCCAAGGCAGAUGGACUACCUUUUCCCUCUUUUAUUUUCAGUUCCACAUACAAGUAUUCUCUCUCUCUUAAACCCCUUUCCCCUCCUGUAGACACCGGGGGCGGGGGACUAAUUAAGCCAAUUCCAGGACUGGCAAUGUUUCUUCCUCAUUCAGGAGAAAUAUUAGGAUAAUGGAUGUGAUGUAGAUCCUUCCUCUCUCCAUCUGCCCCCACAGUCUCACUGGGAAAGCAUCCAAUGACAGAUCUCCCUCUCUGAGGGCAGAUCUCUUUCACAACUCUCUGAAAGGGAGAUCUAACAGAUCCUAUAGUCCAUCAGAUGCCAGCCUCAGAUGCUGAGUGAUUUCUAGGAAGUACUAAGGAUGACUGAGCUGAAACUUAACACUGUGUUUAAGACUGCUUUGAAUGCCUUCACCUACAUUUUGGCAUUGCAAAAUACUGGAACAUGGCUUCUUUCUUGAUGCUCCCCAUUAUGUACCAGAUCCAAGCAGCCUCUCCUGAAUUCAGUGGUGCAUCUCAAAUGUUGCAAAGUGGCCUCCUUUAUUCUCUUAUUCACCACCCAUUCUCACAACCAUGUCAGCCAAUUACACCCUGAGAUGAUCCUUACUUGAUGUGUAUCCAUAAAUGGUAGGUUCCUGAGUUUAGAUUUAUUUCACUAAAAUAAUUAUAUCCUACCCUUUGUCCCAAAGCUGCCCAAGGUGGCAAACAUCAGAAAGAUAAAACAAUGCAAAUUAAAAUAAUAUAAAACAUUUCAAAACAAUUUAUAAAGAUGUAGAACACAAGGAAGCAUUUAAACAUGUCCUCACAGUUGCUAAUUUCAAAGUUGCUGUGACCAGUAUCUUUCAGCCAUCAAAAGUGUAGGAAUACAGAAAUGUUCUUAAAUUUCUUUGGAAAAUCAACAAUGACAAAGACAGGCACAUCCCACUGGGGGGCAGGGCUGGUUCCACGAAUGUGCAAUACCACUGAAAAGGCCCAGUCAUGAGUCAACACUACCUGGGUAGCAGCCACCUCCAACAGGGCAACAGGGACUAUGGUGUUUUUAGGAUAUAUUGUUUCGUUUACAUAUAUUUACACCCUGAGAACAGAAUGGAAGGACUCAUAAUAUUAACACUUCAGGAUAUUGCUUUCUUAUUAGGUGUUGGGUUGUUUUGUUUUGUUUUGUUUUGUUUUGUAAGCCCACAAAAGCUAAAGCUUUGGAUCCAGCACACCAAGAAGGCAAGCCCCUCUCUCCACAGGUUCCAGUUUACCCAAAAACCACACACUCAAAAAAACUCAGCCUAUUGUUCUCUUUCCUAGGGUGACAAGGCUAGUUCAGCAGGUUCUUCUUUGAGAUUCUAAUACAGAAUCACAGGUCUGGAAGGGAUUCCUAUCCAGACCAACUCACCAAUCCCGUAGCUAUAUGGUAAUGAUGAAAGCAGGCAUGGAGUGUAAGGGCAAACCACACCAGCCCUCCUAAUGUUUAAAGGAAGAGUUCCAAUAGAGUUUGUUGUUGUUUAGUCGUUUAGUCAUGUCCAACUCUUCGUGACCCCAUGGACCAGAGCACGCCAGGCAGUUCUGUCUUCCACUGCCUCCCGCAGUUUGGUCAAACUCAUGCUGGUAGCUUCGAGAACACUAUCCAACCAUCUCGUCCUCUAUCGUCCCCUUCUCCUUGUGCCCUCCAUCUUUAGCUAUCUCCAAUAACCAGUGGUCUUUUUCUAGAAAAAGAGGUGCUGGAAUUCACCUCCUUUAUUCUCUUAUACAGUGGUACCUCGGGUUACAUACGCUUCAGGUUACAGACUCCGCUAACCCAGAAAUAGUACCUCGGGUUAAGAACUUUGCUUCAGGAUGAGAACAUAAAUUGUGCUCUGGCGGCAUGGUGGAAGCAGGAGGCCCCAUUAGCUAAAGUGGUGCUUCAGGUUAAGAACGGACCUCCAGAACGAAUUACUAAGUUCUUAACUCGAGGUACCACUGUAAUGGCAAUGGCACCCACCUGAGAGGCACCGGAACUGAUUUCCGGUGAGUUCCGGCUGAAAACAAGCCCUGCCAAUAACCCACAAGCUUAGGCAAACUAAAGUUUUUCAAAACUUAGAAUUCUUGAAGCAGAUUAUUUUAAAAUAGCAUUUGGAUAUGUCAUAUGCCACUUACUGGCAUAUCCUGAAACUUAUGCUUAAGGCAGUAAUAAUAAAUAAAGCAGUGUGUUCACCUCAUUCCAAAUACUUCAUUUUUUCAGAAUUUUAUAGUCAAUAGUUUAAACCUAUUUUAAGAACCCCUUGCAAAUAGCCCUUUUCAUGAUGACUUUUUGGAAAGGAUUAACAACGUUUUAAAUAUAGCUCAAAUAUGCACAAUGUUUCAAGAACUGUCAUUAAAACACAAGAGAGUGUUAUCCAAACGAUAUCAAAUCAACCACCAUGCCCUUAUUACUGAACUUUCUUGGCAAGUAUUAUGAAUUGGCUUCAGGUUGCUGCAUACAUACCCCAUCUGUACUGCUUCUGCUCAAUAACGCAUUCAAACUGCCUGUGAGUAUUAUGAGAUUUAAUAUCAGCUUGCUGCGGUUAAAGCAAUAAGUAAGCUAACUUCUUUACAGUUAAAUCUGGGCAGCAGUGACUUCCUAGUUAUUAACCACCCAGUGCUAUAAAUUCAGCCUGAGCUAUAUAUUAACUCACAGCUCCAGAAACAAGGAAGGAGUUCUUAGCACGCUUGUUUCUGUCAAGUCCAAUGCUAGUGAUUUUCUCAGGAGCAAAAUGGAUAGACUACAACAAUGUAGUGUGUAGCGUUCUUAGCUUACACAAUGGUAUGAAACUGAAACAAACAGAAUCAUGUAGUUGCCAAAAUGCUCUUUAAAAUACAAAGAUAUAUAAAGUAAUUGUGUAUGUGUGUCCAUUACUAUUGCUUAGCUGACAGCAAGACUUCUGUUAGCAGAUCAACAAGGGAAGAGCAAUUUCCAACCUUCCCCUCUAGCUAUCAACUUUCAGAUUUCAUAGCUAUCAACUUUCAGAUUUGAAAAUAAGGGAUCAGCAGCCUCGAAAAUAAGGGAUCAGCAGCCUCACUUGUCUCAGGGUCAGUCUACGGGAUAUCUAACAAUCCAGCGGGAAGCAGCUGGAAAUGGCGCUGGAAUAAGGGAAUUUCCCGCAAAAAAAGGGAAGGUUGACAGCUAUGUCCAUACCUGCCUCCUCCAUCUUCUCAGAAGUGUUCCCCAACCCUCUGAAGCAGAUUUGGAGAGGGUGUGAGGAGCUGUAAGGAGAAAAGGUACAGGUGGAAAUUACUUCCCUCUUCAUUCCACUGAUGUUACACCCCUGGAUACAACCGUUUUUCAUCGGAAUUAGAAAGAAAAGAAAAGAAAAGAAAAGAAAAGAAAAAAGCCAUUCAUGAAAGCAAUCAAGACUAAGGGUUCAUCCAGACUUCUGCUUGCCCCAUGUCUAGAAAGCACAGUUUUCCACUUCUCUCACCCCUUCCCUCAGGAAAACUUGCUAUGUAGUGCUGAAGCAGAGCAAACUUCAAUCCACGGAAAAUCCAAUUGACAUUUGCUCAGUGGAGGCUCAUGGGAACAAAUGAGUCCCGUGAAUGCAGCAGAACUCAGAUUCCCAUAAGCAGUCUCUAGAGCAGAGCACAGAUAUAAGUGAGGGUGUGCCCAAGAGGAAAUAAAUGGUUCUGGGUUACAACAAUCUUAAUAUUGUGAUACAAUAAUAUCUACAUACUGAUUCACGUAUACUGGCCAUGCUUUAGCAUCACUUCUACGUGACACUGCCAGAUGCUUCCCCCUCCCCUCAAAAUUAGAGGUAAUUCCAAAAGCAGGUUGCAAUGCGACUCCGCACUGAGUGUGUCUGUCUUCUCUGAAUAGGGACCAUAAUCUGUGCAUACAAAGGCAUCUAAGCACACUGUGAUAUUGUAGUACAUAAACUGCACAGCAGGUUGCUAUACACCACAUAAAAAUCCUAAGUCCUCAUUUCUGCAGUAUGGGUGAUACGGCAAGUUCUGUAUUUGACCACAAAUCUCCUUCAUUUUUGCCAGUAUAUGUGGAAUUGGAGAGGAUCAAUAAAGGGAAAAUCUCUCCACCCAGUUUUUUGACACCUGCCCUCAAGGUUACCGUUGACAAAAUCCCACUCAGUGUAGGCAAAGCCUUGAGACCAACAAUUGGUAAAUGUUUUGGGAUGCAUAGCAUGCUGCCAGUGCAUCUAUCCAACCGUGUAGAAAAUCCACAGGAUAUAAAAGAAAGCCAGCUAGGUGCACGCUGGCCUGCUAUUUUAAAACAGGUCCGCAGUACUUUUCUCACACAAUGCAGUUUGUCAUUGAACUAUAAAUUGCCUUUUCCUCAGUCACUCUCCAAUAUAUUAUAUAUAUUGUAAGAAGGCGUAAUAAUUUAUACAGGAGAAGCAAGGAACCAGGUGGUAAUGUGGAGCUUGUUUCACUUUAACCAAAAUGUGAGUAUAUAAUAUUUUCAAAGGCCCCAACCACUAAUUUUUAAUCUGUCCCCUCCCCCUCCAGCUGUUGACUGGAAGAUUUUCACAACUGUGGAUUGAUAGAAUUGCUUCAGACAUCACGUUUUUAUAAGGCUGAUGCUCAAAAGCAUUUAACAAAGUGUAAGGUGUGCAAGAACGCACAUAAAUAUAUGUCAAGAUUCAGUUUCCGCAUUUGUGUGAAACCCAAAGAAAUGAAAAGAUCUAUAUGUUUCCGAAUUCUUUACUUGCUUAAUAAAGUAAAAAAAAGGGGGGCAAGAGAUGUCAAUGCACAUCAUAUUUUAAAUAAUAUUUCAAUUUCUUGCUAUGAUUAAUGUGGAUCCGAUGGAACUUUUUUUAAAACAGCUUUACCAAGCUGUUUAUGGUCUGGCAUGCUGCCACAGAGUGAUCUAUAACCCCACACCUCACUAUUAUGCAAAUAUCCAUUUGGCAAGGAGACCUGAGACUUCAGAAUUUCUCUAAGGACAAUCAUAUCUUUCAAACUCCUUAAACCAAAUUAUAUUUGACAUUUAAUUUUAACCCACUUAUCCUGAAAAAUAACUUUUAAAACCCCUCCUGUGUAAAGCUGUUAAUGCAGCAAGUACAUUUUAUUUUAAUUCUCUCUCCCCCACCACACCGCCAUUUUGCUUUCUGCAGUUGGUGUCAGUGAAGUUAAUUCAGUGGUGAAAAGUAUAUCUUUUUAUUGUACUAUUGAGAACAUUUAAGUUAAAUGUUAAUUCUAUAUAAAGUAAGUCAAAAUGUAAAAACACAGGAAAAUUCAAGUUCAGGUUUAUUUUAAAAUCAAAAUAUGCCUGAAAAGAGCGUAUCAUAUGCCUUCAAAUAUGUUGUAUGGAAAAGUAGUGCUUCCAAAAAGGUUGAUUUUAAAACCUCAAGUAUAGAUGCUGGUCAUUGAAAGCAGGAAAGGUCAAUUUAUAAAGUAUUAUUUUAUUAAAGGAACACAGGGUGCUGUAACAAUUCUAGAGAACAUAGGAUGUGACCAGCUCCAGCUUCUCUCAUUUCACCAUAAGGUCACCCAAAUUCUCUCUUCUACACAGUGGUUAAAUUAUAGGACCUCCAUCUUCCUUUGUUGGUGCUUAACCUACUUGGUUCAUGCUUAUUUACAAGAAUCCCUGAAGCACUUUUAAGAUACAGGGUAGACCUACUUGGUCAAUUCUAUCCCUCAGAGAAGUACAAUCAUCUGAUGGGAAGAGAUGAUGUUGCUCAGGCUUGCCAUCUUCCAUGACCUGGGUGGGGUAGAUCUCAAGUGGGGAACCCACUCUACACAUUAAUGCUCCCCAUGUGAUUGAGAUCCCGGCACAAUCAGUAUUCUAAAUAAGGGGUGGGGAACCUCUUUUAGCCCGGACACCUUCUGGGGGUGCUGGAAGGUCCUGGCAAGCAAGAAGCAUUAUCAGAGGUCCAGGACAGAUUCCAGCCAGGCAAAAACACGUGAGGUGUGAAACGGGGCCACUGACUUCGGUUGGUCACCGUCAAGGGGCCUGGUAGGAAUUUUUUUCCACCUGGCAAAUUGGCACCAGCCAUUUGGUUUUUCACCUACCUUGUAGCAAAUCAUCACAACUUCCUCGGCAUUGGUGGUUAGGCAUUGGUAAGGGUAUUGUUAUGCAGAUGAGUGGGGGGGAGGAAGCGCCAUCACCUUCCCCCAUAUCGAAGGGUAGUCCGGUAAAGGAUUCCGGGGGGCGUUGCCCUGUCCGAAGCCUAUGGAGGUGUGGGCCUAAGGCACCCCCCCCGAGCAGUGACCCCGGGGGAUCUCCUAGUUGACGUGCCUCAGCAGGACUCCCCCUACUGGUGGUUAACCCUUGCCGGUCUUCUAGAAUCAGGCUGAAACCGGUUAGUCAAUAGGACCAAUGCCUAAGCCAAUACCGCUCAAUUCCUGUAAUCAAUAAAGUUGUGGUCUAAUUUUGCCCAUUAACCUAAAAUACUGGUGUCCUGUGUCUUUAUUUCCAUGAGGGAGGCGGGAACUCGCCACGCAAAGAGUUCCAAGGGGCAGAUAAAGAAGCAUUUUGGCUCUGGGCCUGAUGCUCCCCGUCCCUGUUGUAAAUCAUAUGGGGAGUCUACAUGCACAGAACAGGCCCCACAUUUCAGGCCUUCUCCAUUUGAUGCAUGGAAGGCAGCAGGGCUGGGCAAUGGGGUUGCAAGAAAAGGGGGCACAGCCAGUGAAUGUGGCCCUACUUGCCCUCCUCAUAAGAUGAAGGUGAGCACCUAUACAAGGCUGCAGCUUAAUGUCCUUGACACCAAAGAAAAGCAAUGUGGUAUUUUGCUUGAUGUGGACCAAAUUGUAUUAGACUAAAAACCCUUUCCACCUGUCUGCAGUGCCAUGUCUGCGGGGGUGACAAGGAGGCACCCCGUGGGGGCUCACGGUGGCACAAGCAGCCAUCGUGCCGCUGCAGCUGCAUGUGGAGGAUCCUCCGUUCGUGAGCAGAGGAUCCCGGCACCGUCCGUACAACAAUGGUGCGGCAGCGCCCGCAAACUGCUAUGUACAGCGCAUGUGCGGCACUGCUACGUACGGUGCAUGCAUUGUAUGCAGUGACACCACACAUGCGCCCUACAUAGCGAUGCCCAGGGUGUCACGACACCUUUGUUCGCCCCUGUGGACAAGGCUGGAUUUAUCUCUCUUUCCUCUUGGGCUCCUGUUUACGUAAUGAACAACUUUAACUACCCUUGCUUUAUCAAUGAGUAGAGCAGGACUGUGCUUCUGAUUGUCCCAUGUAUCUAGUUUGGCCUGAGUCAUUAUUCUUAAGAACAAUUAAAAGGCCCCAUGUUUAUGCCUAAGCAAGCAAUCCUUUUACUUCAAAUGUGAAAAACCCAAAGGGGGGGGGGACACCACAUACCAUCAUGCCACUUUGAUAUACAUUGGUGCUAGUUAUUAUAAGGGUAAGAAAUAAAACAAGCACAAUGAUUUACUUUUAAAUGCAUGGAUUUAAUAAUCUUUGAAUAUAUCAAGAGCAUGCUUGUGAACCUUCAUAAACACUGCCAACCUGCUGUUGAAACACUGCAUAUGCCUGCACACUUGCAUUUAAUAUGCUGCUUAUGCAGGUAUAAAUGUGUUCAGGAAACAGAGACCUCUCCAGGCCCUGUAGGGAAUAGCAGUGUUUGGUGUUAUGUUUGCAUCAGCUCUUAUCGAUCACAUAUAUAAAACUGUCCUUCACCAGGUUCCCGGCAACAGCCCUGAGUACCUUGCACCUUAUAUAAACUUAAGAUGGCAGGGCCAAGCCUAGUUUUGCAAAAACCUUUUGCAGCUGGAAGUGGAUAUGAAGCUUGCAUCCAAGGGAAAUGUCAAGAUUUCAAAUUAGCCUUCUUUUCAAGUCAGAAAAGAAAGCCAGAAAGAAAAUAAUUCAUGUAUUCAUGAUAACCUUUUCAGUAACCUAUAAUAUCCACUUUAGCUCUUUAUCUGAGUUGUUCCCUUUUUUUGAUAGAUGCUUGUGACCCAGAAUCAAUCCACCCACCCACCCACCCAUCCAACACUGAGUGAUGUUGUGUCAUGAACCUCAAAUAGUGUAGGAUAUUUUGUAAGGAUCACAGUGCCUUACAGGUAUCAGCAAAGGCUUGGAAACAGUAGUCGAAAACCCUUAAGCAAUCAAAGACUGUGGAGGGAAACCUUUGGUUUUCUACAUUGAUGUUUUUGCUGCUCUGCUUAAACCGAGGCAACGUGCUCACUUUGUAACUGCAAUAUUUUUGGUUAAUUCUACUACCGUCCUUGAGACACCUCGCAAACAUACACUUCUAGUUAUAUUGUUAUAUACGCAUUGCUUACAAUGAGCAUCUUCACAAGGAUGCAUCAUUUUAAAUAAUAUAAUACUUUUGUUCAAUCCACGUUAGACAAUGCUAUUGUAAGCUUCAGCUGGUAGAAAAUGUUGCAGCCCAGCUUCUGUUAAAUGUUAGUUACUGAGUAAUCCGUUUGCCACUGCUUUCGAUCCAUAGGUAACACUGGGGAGGGGGAAAGAGCACUAAGAAGACAGAAUGCAUUUUGAGGGGGCAAUAUUAUUCCUGAGAUGAUUUCUAAAAAAUAAUUGUGCUUCUCACAUUGAUGUCUGCUCUUCUAAACAUGCUGGGAUGUGUCCAAAAAUGUCCCUAGAAACUGAGAUCCACUAAGCCAUGGUUCUUAACAUGGGUCACACCCCCCACAGGGGGGCAAUUUGAGAAUGGGUUUAUUAACAGUUAAUGGCAUUUAGCCUUCCUCCACGUGAAUAGGAGUUCACUUUUUGAAUAAUUAUUAUUAUAUGUCACGGGGGGGGGGCGUGUCAGGAUUUUAGAGAUGCUUAGGUGGACAUGGCCAAAAAAAGAUUGGGAACCACUGCUGGAAGAAAAAGGGGAAAAGGGAGGGCAGGCAAUUCUUGCCAAUUGCCCCUGCAAAAUCAUCAUACCACCUCCCACACUGUUCUAGUUAGUUACCAAACUUUCUGGAACUAUCCUCCUGGAAUUUUUUGGAAAGAAGAUUUUUGUGUGUGGUAAUUGUUCCACCUUGGAUGCGUGGAACUAUUUCCAUAGCUGUUUGGAUUAAAUGUGUGUCCCCCCCACACCAUUUCACACUGAUUUGAUGACUGAAAAAUGCUGCUAGCAGAAGCAAUAGCAAACCAAUUCCUAGUUCAAAUAUCUCUGCCCUGAACUUGCAGUAGAUGGCUUUCAUUAACUCAGUAUUCACACUGUCUCACUGUGCACAACUCAUCCACCCUUGAGCUAAAUUGCCAGGGCUGGUUGUUGUUAAGUAUUAUGAAAGACAGAGGCUCUUUGGGUAGGUGGUUCCUAUAUACGUUCAGGAGAUAGGCAAGUUACCCUUUAUAGCUAAGGUCACACUCACUCUGAAGGAGCAGUUACGGAGAUUGGGGUUACUCCUGAAUACAUCUCUGUCAUGAGAGGCUCAAGUGUCCUAAAAAUACAUUUUACUACCUCUGUCUGAUUUGCCAGCUAGGGCCAUUCCUGGACAGGGAGAGCCAGACCACUGUAGUCAAUGUGCUGGUAGCCUUGAGGCUGGAUUCCUGUAAUGUUCUCAGUGAGAGGCUGUCCUUGGGCUUGGAUUGGAAGCUCUGGUGAGGGCACAUGGCUGAGAACAUCUGCACUGGCAGUCCAUCCACUAUUGAGCCAGGUUCAGGUCCUUGUAUUAAUUUACAAAGACCUGAACAACUUAGGUCCCAGGUAUCACCUGAAUCUUUAUAUCCCAACUUGAUCAUCAAGAUCGUCUACCAAAAACUUUAAUGCUGCCAAGCUUAUGCAGGCAAUUAAGAUCUUUCUGCAAUAGAUAGCUGAUGAUCUCCAAUAUUAAUUCCCCCCCAAGGUUUUUGUUCUGUAAAUGUGUGGUUGUAAACUGCUUUGCUUUUUUAUGAAACGGUGAUACCCAAACAUUUUUUAGAAAUAAAAGAAAUAUAAAUGGCUAUGAUGAAUGGGAAAUACUUUGGAACUCUAAUACUGUGGUACCUCGGGUUACAGACUUCAGGUUACAGACGCUUCAGGUUACAGACUCCGCUAACCCAGAAAUAGUACCGUUAAGAACUUUGCUUCAGGAUGAGAACAGAAAUUGUGUGGCAGUGGCAUGACGGCAGCAGAAGGCCCCAUUAGCUAAAGUGGUACCUCAGGUUAAGAACAGUUUCAGGUUAAGAACGGCCCUCCGGAACAAAUUAAGUUCUUAACCCGAGGUACCACUGUAUAGGAACAUCACCUCUUCAUCUCAAAAGCCUUAUUGGUUUUGUUAUCACUCCUUAUGAAUGCUUGCAAAAUCCAAAUGGCAUAGGCUCCCAUUCUGAAGAGAGAGAGAGAGAAAUGAAUGGCAGGUGGGAGCCUUUGUUCCCAGACAGACAUGCAGACUGGGAGAGUAUCCCAGCUCACAGGCAGGGAGGUAGGCUGGCUGCAGAAGUUAAAAUCACACUUCUGAGUAUGCUCAGAACUGUUGCAGACAAUUUUGCAUAUGGAUUGACCCACUGGAUAGCAUAUAAAAACAAAAAAGGAGUCAAUGAAAUAAAAAAUACACAGGUGAAAGAAGAAGUGAUGUGACUGGAAUAUGCUGUCCUGAUGCUAAUUCCAAAUAUUAAACUGCAUGAUAAGCCCAUCAUUAGAGCUAAGCAAAUAAUUCACAGUGAAUAAUUUAUUCAACAAACUCUGCUUCUUUUUUUCCUGUAUACACAAUGUCCGUGAGUAGAUUGCAAUUUCCCUGAAUUUAUUCAUGAUUCACUUUUACGCAAAUGCUUGUGAAUCUGUUUUUUUAAACUCAAGGGCUGUCCAUGAGCAAGUCUGAGUAUUAUGAAUUGGAGUGUUGCUGGUUAUGAAGAGAGAUACUAACUGGACUUAUUUCUUCUAGUUUUCAAUUAAAGUAAUUUGCAUUUAAAAAUACAAACUAAAGUUAGAAGCAACUAAUUAGACUGGGAAUCCUACUUAACUCAGGUGCUUCAUUUAGGUUGCAGUACUUAAUAUUAAGGGCCCAAAAUAUAAGGGUUAUUAUUGUUUUAUUUUUGUUUAGCUAAUUCAACAUCUCAUAGAACCUCCUAGUGGUGCACCAAUAAAACUGCUAGCACAUUUACAAAGCUAAGCAGCAUCUGGUAGAGUUUCAAAUUAGAUGGGAGACUACAUGUAGAGAUUCCUGGGUUGCUGGGGUUUGGAUUAGAUGACACUUGGGGUGCCUUUCAACUCUAUGAUUCUGUAAGUCUUACCAGUGUUUGAGCCUAAAUUCUUACUUGUUUGGGAAGGCAUGGGUAAUUGUAAUCUAUGUAGAAAAAAUGUUUUCUGGAACAUUUACUACCUUCUGUCAGCUUCUAGAGAGAAAUGAAUCUUAGAAUCCUAGAACUGUAGAGUGUGAAGGAACCCCCAAGUCCAACCUCUGGCAAUUGGAAUUGUCACACAAAAGCAAUUACCAAGUCUGUUUCCUUAUUCAGAUCCACCUGAAGUCAAAGAACCUGGUAGAGAUAGAUAGCUCAGAUGGUUAGAGUGUAGUGCUGAUGACACCAAGGUUGCAGGUUCAUUCCCCGUAUGGAAUAGCUGCAUAUUCUUGCACUGUAGAGGGUUGGACUAGAUCAGCCUUUCUCUCUUUUUUUAAAAUAAUAUUUAUUAGUAGUUUUCAGAAUUAUAAGAAGAAGAAGAAAACAUUAAAAAACAACACUAUAAUAGACAAAAAAAGGGAAAAAAAACAAAAACCAAUAGAACAAUACAACAAAAAGAUAAAAAGAAAAAAACAACAACACAAAUCCCAAAUUACGUAUCUAAAACUUCCAUUUGCUUGUUUCAUUGACUUCCUCACACCUCCCUUUUUGUAUUCUAGUUUAAUUAGUUAUUUCAGCAAAUUCUUUCCAUCUUUCUCAAUUUUUGUUAAAAAAAUUAUCCUAACCUAAUUUAAUCUAAUAAUUAACUCAACCAAUCCUUUCCAUCUUUCCCCGUAUUCUAUUAUUCACAUUACCUUAAUUAAUUUAACCUUAUCUUACCCUAAAACACCUUAAAGCUUGAAUCUUAGUUAUCAAAUAUACAUUACUCCUGAUAUCAUUUCUGCUAAAGUCAUAUAGUUUCAUUCCAACAUUUUCCCUAAUAUUCAUUAAUUUUUAGCCAAUUCCCCAAAUAGAAAAUUUUCUUUAUAAAUUUUCUUCCAAUCUUCAUCCAACGUCCCUUCUUCCUGGUCUCGGAUCGUGUCAGUCCUUACUGUCCAUUCCAUCUAGUCCAUCAACCUGGAAGCCUUAUGUCCGAGGCCCUUAAGUCUCUUCCAUGUCCCUUCUGCAAUUCUUCUUCUUCUUGUUUAUACUUGCCCUUUUCCUUGUCUUUUGUUGGUCUCUUUCUUAGUUUCUUUCCUUUCUCAUUGAGGGGUAGGCCUCUGGGGGAUUCCAAGCCAAAAUUGUCUCCAUCUCCCUUCAUCAAACCCGCCCAUUCCCCACAGUCCCACUCCCCACAAUCCUCAAUAUAGUCCAAAAAGUAUUUAAAAACAUAUUCCAAGGUCUCUCCAACGUUGGGAACCUCCUCAACUCCAGAUGCCCCCUGGCCCACCCCAACUUCAAUCUUCAAUGACAGCGGCUCAUACUCCUGUAGGGCCUCGGGACUCUCCAUUUGUAUUAUUUGGGGUGCAACCGCGUCCUCCUCCAUUAUCUUCUGCACUUGCCUAGUCAGUACAGAUUCAUGAGUUGGUCCCUGGAUAAUUUCUGUAUCAAUAUUCCCUGUUUGCCCACAGUUAUUAACUGCAACAGUCAAAUCCAUUUUCUCAUUCAUCAAGUCCAUCUUCUCAUGCAUCUGUUCCAGCAGGGCACUUGUCUUGCAUAAGGCAAGCACCCGUUCUUCUUUCCAACUCAUCUUUAGUCAAGGUCAGAAAAGCCUGUUCCCACGGUCUUAAUCUCACAUCUGUUGAGCCCUCAAAUGUACUGCAGCAACAAUUUGACAAGCUCCCUCUAGAGGAGGCAAUUUCUAUUUGUAGCUAUUUUUUUUUUUUAGGCAAGUCCAACAAAGGAAAAUUACUUUCGUUUUUCAGAUAUUUUGUUUCUUUAAGAUGCAAAAGGCAACAUUGGAAUCAGCUUGCUUCUCUUCUUUAGCUAUCUGUCAAAAUAUUCCAUUGACAGUCAAUGAACCUCUCCAACAAUUUCUGUCUCUGACACCCCGUUCCCAGGUUAGAGAUGGUGGAAACUUAUCCUUCUUCACUCCCUCUCCUGCUAGGGUUCCCCCCCUUUUCUCCUGCUUCCAAGAGGGUUUCAGUAAUUCUAAAUGAAGGAAAUUUAGACUUUUUUUACAGCUUUCCAGGCUUUAGCUUACAAAGUUUUUGCUUUAGUCUAUAUACAAAAAGCGGAAGGCAGACUUCCUGUUUUGAACCUUCUUGCUUCGUUGCCAAAUUAAGAAAUUUCUUGAUCCAAUUUUCCGUUUCUACUCACGGGUACUUGUUUUAAAUCCAAUUGUCCACAGGAAAAAGUCAGCGCUCUCCAGCAAUGGCUGUGCGGCUUCACUCCGUGAAAGUAGCAGUCAGUUCGCAGCACCGCGCUUCUCACCCCACUUCGCUCCGGAGCCCCUAAAUGGGAUUCCCUGCGAGUAGGGGGGCGCUCCUGGUGCCCUGCCGAACCCCACGUUCCCAGGCUUCCUCUGCCUGGGAUUUCUAGCGGGUCCCCACCUUCGCCGCGGCGGGAAGACCCAGUUUCCACGGAGCCCGUUCCUCCGAACGGAGGAACUCUGCCAUUCACCGAUGCCGCUGACCCGGAAGUCCCUACAUCAGCCUUUCUCAAUCUGUGGGUCCCAGAUGUUGUUGAACUAUAACUCCCAUCAACCCUAGCUAGCAAGGCCAGAGCUCAGGGAUGAUGGGAGUUGUAGUCCAACAACAUCUGGGGAUCCACAGGUUGAGAACUGCUGGACUAGAUGAUCCUAAAGUCCCUUCUAACUCAGGUCUCUGAUUCUCUGACUCAAAUGUUCAUCUAGCAAACCCAAGUUAUAUUAAGCAAUAAGACAGCAAUAUGUCCUCCAACAUUACUACUGUGUACAUCUGGAAUGAUCCUUCUAUUGGUUCUUUAUAUCUAAAGCUGGCAAAUGGUGAGAUGCGUAGAGAUUCAAUGGAGAUCUCUCUUUCUCUCUCUGCUGUAGGUCAUGUACUUUACAUGCCAAAGGCAAGUUUUAAAAGGAGGAGGUAGCAGGUACACCAUCUGCCUGAGAUCCUGGAGAGCAGAUGGUAGAGUAGAUGACACUGCGUUAAAUGGACCAAAGAUACAAGGCAGCUUCCUAUAUUAGUCUAAAUGUCCUAGAAGGUGAAUUGUGCUUUUCUUUCUAAAAAAAAAGGUCUGUCUUUUACAUUUCUGAUUUAAAUGAAUUUUAUUCUUCUCAUUGAGUUGUGCCUACUGAUGUCCAGUGAUUGAAUACUUUUGUUUUUAUUCAGCAGACUUUCAUCACCAGAAUGAGGAAGAAAGGCAUUUUUCAUAUAGUCAGCCUCAUCCCUGAAUCCCCAUCACCCAAUCCUCUACAGACUGUUGGAGGAACCUUCAUAACACAGCAAGGGGGUGGUUCAAGGAGGGUGGGCAAAUUGGUGAAAAUAGCCUUGCUCCCUCUGCUGGAUCAAGAAGCCUUCUAUAGUGGACAAACAAUAUAUCAGAUAUAAUCCAUUAAGCUCAUCAAGGCUUUCUUUCUUUCUUUCUUUCUUUCUUUCUUUCUUUCUUUCUUUCUUCUGGUUUAAGAAAUUACUUUCUACUUUCACAACUAUUUUUAAAGUACCAAAAAUUAUAAUGAAAAUUGCUUCAAAUGUUACAAAUGUGGAAUUACAUUUUAGUCCCUAAUGUGUGAAAAGAUUCCAAUACUCUUCUUUAAUUGAUUUCUUCAAAUAUUUAAUACUGCAAAUUUGGCACAACUAUGCUGAUUAACUUUGUCCAACUCAAAUGGGAUCUUAUAGAUUCUAUCAGAGAUUAUUCAAAUUUCAACUCGUGUCAAGCCCACAUUACCUAACUAAUCUAACAUUUAUAUAUUUUCAUAUAUAUUCCUAACCUUAUUUUUCAGAAGCCAGAAGAAGAAAACCUUUUCAACACUCUGCAGCAUCACAUCUAUGAAUGAUGCAUAAAUCAUUUAACACUUAUUUUCAGGGUAUAUUAUCUCCUGCCAACUCAUUUAUUCUCAUGCUGAUAAUCUUGCCUUAAAAGUCUAGUGUUCUGAGGUACUAAAGCAUUUCUGGAAGCAAUCACAUUUGUGGUAAUUAGUCAGCUGAAUAGUCAUGAGGAAUGGGAUACACUUCUUCAUCCUGUCAAUUCAGAGCUCCAAAUUGUUACCACAAACAGAUACCUUAUCUCACUCUUGUUGGAUGCCAUAAAUACGAAUUUAGAAAGAUAAUCUUUAGCUACUAUUUCCUAUAAAUUGCUUCACUGGGUUGAACACCACUACUAAUGUAUAACAGACACAACUAAACACAUAAUUAAUCAUAUACAGAAUGAGUCAUAUACCGAGUAGUUACAUUGAUUUCAAUGGGUCAGAUAUAGUAUGGCUAAGAGUGGAUAUCUAUCAAGGCUUAUAUCAUGAUUUCCACUCCCACCAGCAGAAAACGCAAUAGGGGACUUUCCCCUGAUUCUCCCUCCCACAAACAACAGCACAUGUUUCAGGAGACUGGGGGUUCUUUUGGCUCAGUGGGGAGGUGUAGCACUGGGGACUUCAGGAUGAAUUGACAAAAUAUAAAACACCAAGUGGCACUCAAGCAAUAAAAAGAACAAUUUUCUUGCGGCAUAAGCUUUCAUAGACCACUUCAUCAGAUGCAUGAAGGAUUUGCUUAAAUUGGCAGACAUAUAGACAUAUGGUGAGGGCAAGGGAAUGGAAACAAGUGAGGUAAGAGCAAAAUGAAUCACAGAAUUGUAUUAAUGCUGUCCUGUACAGGGAUCAAACCUGCAACACUGGUGUUAUCAGCCACCACACUAGCCAACUGAGCUAUCGCUAAAGAUAGUGACAUCUACAUAAAAGCAAAGCAACUACAGUGUCAGUGUGAUGUAGGUGUCAAAACUAACAUCAUGGCAUUAAUAACCUAAAUCAGAAUCACAAUCACUCAAAUAAGAAAUUUGAGUAAACUUAAUUUGGUUCCAACAUGAUACAUAUUACUGACCCAGCUUUUAUUAUCUGUAAAGGGACGGCUACAUGUUUGUUAAUGGGUUAGGGAACACUGCGCCCUGCAACCCCCACUUCAUUCACCCCUGUUCCAAGAAUGGAUCAAUCGUUAUUCUCCAAAUUUGUUGAGGAACUGAAUUAUACAUCACAUAGAAAUACAAGCAGCAAGGGCCAUAAAUUUUCCAGGAGUUUGAACCAUUUAUAUGCCCUGCAGCAUGAACUAUGACCUUCUCUUGUAUAAGACCAUCUACAAAAUGUUCCAAGUAAAUCAGGUGCAGAAGAAAUAUGAUUACUGAGCAAUCAAAUGUUAACCUCCAAGCUUGGAAUCAGAAAACUUGAAGAAAGUUUGGGGCUUUUUUUUAUUUUUGAUCCUGAAAUCAUGAUCAGUCAGCACAUUUAAAUCAGGAUAUGAAUCUGUUUAAACCAAUGUGUGGAAUCUAUACAUUUUAUAAAUUGUAGGGAUCUUCUUUAAAAAUUAAUUUGGUGAGAAAUCUUAUUUGUGCCCAGAAAAAUUACACAACCAAGCUGCUGAUGAAAACAAACUCUCAGUUUGAAAGAACGUUACUAUAGUAGCUGCAAUCAUCAUAGUCUAAAAUCCACAAAUGUUUUAGCUUACUAGAAGAGGGCAAUGCAUUACAUUCUGUGCAGGGAUAUAGCCACAAUUCAGCUUCCUCCACCCACCCAACACUAUGGCUCAGGAGCACUACUGCAGCCAGCUGAGAUUCGUAAGCCCAUGUCAUUCCUCCUUUAUCCUCUUUGGCCUUUUGGGCAUCUGACCAGCCGACCCUCCAUUGCAGUGCAGAAUUACAGCUGCUUUGGGGCCUCGUAGGAAUUGUUUGCCUGUCCACAAAUUGGCCAAGUUGGCCAGGAGCUUUUGUGUAUGCAUGUCUCCUCUGCACUGGAAGCUGAAGGCCAGUAAGAACGUAGGAGUGGCUGUUGUUAAAUAGGUUAAUUGGUCACAUUGUCUGAAAGGAAAGUGCACCUUUGAAGGUGAGGGGCAUGUAUCUCUGGGUUCGGUGCCCUUAGCCUCAAUAACAUCCCAUAUCCAAGCUACCUGACCACACCAACCCAGUAAGUAGGUAGGUUGGGAAGGAAGGCCUCCCUACUCACUAGAAGACAAGGCUCAGACCUUGGGGUUAUGCCUCACCAGACACCUUACCAUGAUCAGCACUGGGCUCACGGCCACAACAAAGAUUAACUUCCUGCACUUCUCAUUACCCCCAGCAGAUGUUAUUAAUAAAAGCUGGUCCCAAGUCUUAUGGGUCCGGUCACAAAAUGGCCUGCAAAGAAAGAUGUUGCACUAUGCCUAGUAUUGCAUGGUAAAAGUGUUUGACUCAGUUCACCAGACACUAAUCCAAGGGGCAGGCGGAGGUUGACCACUGAAGACUGAUCCAAAAAUGCAUUCCUUUUUUUCUUAGGGAUGCAUCAGUUGGGUGAAACAACUGCAAACAUUCCUGAGUAUGUUUUCAUUCUUUGUAUAUCACAUUGUUGUUUUAUUGCUAUGGCCAAUGGCUGACGCAAAGAAAGGUUCAUUCAGUCCUGAGUAUGACUGAUUAUCUGGAUCGAUGGUGGUCUGGGUUCAUCAACAAUUCUUUCCUUGGGUAAAAUGGGUCUUAAGGCUAGUACUGUUAGGAACGAUACUGGUUACUUCUGUCUUAAUUGGAAGUGUGUGUUUCAAACAAUCCUCGUGCAUCUUCUUUUUACCAGGCCUUACAAUACCUGUAUAGACAUCCAUCUUUUUCAAUUUAAUGGAAUAUGCAUGAAUAGGUCCAUUUGUAUUUCUCUGCACAUCAAAGACUUGCUUACCAAACAAGCUAAUCAAUUUAUCAGACCGUUUUAAUUAGUAAGAUGAAUGUGACUAGUCUGGCUGUGCACUUGUUUUAUCAAUUAUGUGACAUUAGUGGGAAUACAACAUGACACUGAUAUUGAAAUUACAACAUUAACCAGCUAUACAAACUAAAACCUAGUCCUUAGAAAUUCUCAUGCUAACUGAAUAUUACUCACAGAGAACUGGGAAAAUGAUACUAGCAAAUUGCAACAAUAACAUUUUCAGUAACAAUGGAAAGAUGGAUGGGGACUUCAAAAAUAUAAAACUGAAUGUAAAAUGUUCCUGCAUUUAUGAAAUAAUAAAAAGCACACAAUUUUUUAUCAAAGUUGAUAGUGUUCAUGCUAAAUCAAACAUGACAGUGGAGGUUGUAUUUUACUGACAUGCUCUCUGUUAAUGUGCAAAAGAUAGCUCAGUUGGUAGAGCAUGAGACUUUUAAUCUCAGGGUCUUGGGUUUGAGCCCCUAGUUGGGCAAAAGGGUCCCUGCAUUGCAGGGGGCUGGGCUGGAAGACCCUCAUGGUCUUCUCCAGCUCUAUGAUUCUGUGAUUACCGUAUUUUUUGCUCUAUAAGACUCACUUUUUCCCUCCUAAAAAGUAAGGGGAAAUGUGUGUGCGUCUUAUGGAGCGAAUGCAGGCUUCGCAACUAUCCCAGGAGCCAGAACAGCAAGAGGGAUCGCUGCUUUCGCUGCACAGCGAUCCCUCUUGCUGUUCUGGCUUCUGGGAUUCAGAAUAUUUUUUUCUUGUUUUCCUCCUCCAAAGACUAGGUGCGUCUUAUGGUCUGGUGCGUCUUAUAGAGCGAAAAAUACGGUAUACCUCUUGCUUUUAUAUGAUGAUACCACAAGGUUUGUGGGGGGAGGGUUGGUUGGUUUGCUUUUUGUCGUGGUGGAUUCUGCAAUGUUCCUGUUUUAAAAUCCAAAAAUUACAAAAUGUUUUUGACCAUUGCUGGCUUCACAUAAUAAAAUAUGAAGUUUUGGGCCAGGGGUUGUUUAAGCUUCCCUGCCUUGCAGGGAAACAGCUGAAAAGUCCUGCUGAAAUAUAAUGCUGAUAGGAUCUGUCACAGAGUGUUGACAAACACAGAUACCAUGAGAAAAGUGGAAGGUUUAGUUAACAACGGAAAAAUCCUCACACAUGAGAUAGGGACAAGAGGAGCAAAAUGAUAUAUAUAUAUUUUGAAAUAGCAAAAGUGAAUGAGCAAGGUGGGGUGAGGAAGAACAACAGGGUGAUGGAGUGGCCAGUCCAGUGCAGAGGGGACAUCUUGCCCAGGAUCCUCUCCAACUUGGAAGCACCAUUGUUUACUAUCCUCCUUCAGCUGAAAAUUAAGCUAAUCUAUGCACAGGUAAGUACCAAGAUAUGUCUUCCCUCCCAGUUUGUAAGUGCGUUUUUAAAAAAUAAAAUAAAAUAAAGUCAGCUGAUCUAAAAGAGCAAGUCUAGAAUGCAUGCCUAGCCAGCAAUAUUCUGAGGGGAAUUUAAACUGGUAGGUUGUAAUCCAAGGGGGCAACAGCCCAUUUGCAAUCACUCCCAUGUACAACACAAAUUCAGAUAAUUUGCAAAUGAAGCCAGCAUUCUGAAAUAUUUAAAAUGUGCAUAUCAGUGCAGAUUUAAUAUCAAUGAGCUAAAUUGGCAGGCUCCACUAUUUCUCUCCCUCUUGCAAACACCACAUUUUUAUCAAUGACCUAUAGCAAGUUGUUCCGCCUCUUGGUGUUGACAGUAUAGUACCCUUUGGGAUAAGAUCAUUUUUCCAUGAUGAUAAUAAUAGCAAUAAAACUAAUAAUAAUACUAAAAGAAAUGCGUAUUAAGAACCAAGCUUGUAAGCAACUUAUCCAGAUGGCUUAACUAAGGAGUUUUAUAAAAAGCUUCUCUAGUCCUUGGUGAACUCUUAUAUUAGCUAGCUUCGAGGGCUUUAGAUAAUAAUUAUUUCAUUACCGGUCUGGCUCUCUUUAUACAAACAGCUUAGCUGUUUAACCAAACAAAGAGUCAAAGAUGCUGAAGUGGCAAUGUAGGCUUGGCAUUUAUCAAGUGAAAUCUAUAAAGGAGGAAGAAGAUUAAUAUUUUGAUCAGUGCCCUAGCAUUUCACCCGCAACUGACAUCCUCCAAAGCAGUAUGUGAAAAUCAUGCCAAAUAUAUUAAAUUCAUUAGGUGGUUUAUAUGCUGAUUUUCAGCCAAGAGGGGCUCCCCAAAUGGCUUGCAACAAUUAAAACCCAACCACAAAGAUAUCAGAGGUAUUUGGAUAUAUGUACAUGUCUCCUCCCACUCGACAUUUACUAAUCACAGUACAUGACAAACAGCAACCAGUGACCGUCUCUUGCAAAAGGCAAACAGGACCUCUUCUGGGGAAAUCAGCAACAAGUAAAUGCAAGGAUCGAACUUCAAAGCUCUAAUAUGAAGUCCAACAUGGGAGUCGGGAGAGGAAAGGGUGGAGGAGGGGACAAAGGGCAGUUCUUUGGAGGGGUGCCAAAAGCCAACAACUAGCUUGUUAUGAAACAAACAAAUGGAAAGAAGAAUAGCCUUAGCUGACACCCUCAGCUGACUCCUGGAUCCCUCCAGAUCUUUUAUUAUUGUACUGAAUUGCAUUCUAUUGAACGACAUAGGGAAGAAUGUAUGACAUGGUUACUUAAAGUGAAUUGUUGGGGGGUGGGUUCAAAAUAAACUUUUUAGAAAUCCUGCAGUCAUGCCAAGCCAAAACUUAGGAAAGUAAGAAUUUGCAUUGUUUUUUUUAAUCAAGAUUGUUUAUUAGAUACAGAGGGGGUCCAGGUUUUUUUGGAAGGGGUGACAGAAUGAGAGCCUAAAAAUUCAUGUCACCUUUGCAUUGAAAAUAUUGUCCUUUGUUCAAAAUCCCAAUUGCUCCUUACAACGACCUGUGCAGAUCACUCCUCUGCUUUGUAGUGUCACAUUUGUAACAUUUAGCUAUGCAAGCCUAUGCAUAUUUACUCAGAAGUAAAUCCCAAUGUGUUCAAUGGAAUUUACUCCUUUAGAACCCUUUUUUUUUAACUCAAACAAUGGGUGAUAUAAAAUACCUCCACUACAGGACAUAUUAUAUGGACGUUAUACCAAAUUCCCACCUUUUCCUAUCCCAAAUUAUUUCUCAUGUGGACUAAUUUCCAUUUACUCUACAAUCCACAUAUUCCCCUCCUACACUUCUCUACAUUUUCUUGCUGCCCUAUCUAUCACCUCUAGUGUGGCCGGUCUGUUUAUGUAUAUGUGCCAUCUGGAAAUAUUUGCUUGGAAGGUCCCUUUCUGCGACGUAUAUGGCCUCUGUUAGUUUAGCUCGGAUUAUUAAAUUUAUUUAUCACUUCACACAAGUGAAAGGAAUCCCAAAGUGAUUUACAAGAGAAGUAAGUCACUUGUGCUGCACCCUCUCUUGCAGAAGGCAAAAGCAGGGAAUUUUCUAGAGAAAACAGCAAAAUGAUCCAAGGACUCCUUGGUCUAAUAUGCACUUUAAAAAGGAGCAGGCGACUGAAAGAUGCUUUCAAUUGGAAUUGUGGGUGGGAGGAAGAAAAGAAAGCAAAGGAUAGUUCCUUGAAGAGAAAGUGAAAGCCAACAUGGAGCACAGGGCAACUGGAAAGCCAUGUUGUUGUUGUUGUUUUAAAAAAUCUUUGACUGUUGCUAACCACUAAUGCAGAGAUGGGAAACGUCAAGCCUCUAGACCAAAUGUGGCCCUCAAGGUUUCUCUAUCUGGCCUGCUGAACUGUCCCCAAUUCAUAUUCCUCACAGCCCCUGCUUCACAGCCUGAGUAUUGUUUCCUGGUUGGAAUGUUGCCAUCAACUUGCUUUCCUGUGUGGAGGAUAAAGGCACGUGAAAGCGUAGAAACUAACCUACCUAUUGUACACAGCUAGCAUUUGCUCUUGUCGUUCCACCUGAUUUUGCCUCUUGUUCUACUCAGUAUCUGAGAAGGUUACCAAUAAGGGAAUGUGAUUCUCUGGAUGGGAAAGUUUCCCUGACCCCGACUUUGAAGUCCUAAAUGGCUCAGGGCCUGGUGACACAUUAGAUCACAUCUUCCUACAAAUGUCUAGCUGGUCCUCGAGAUCAUUUUCUGACAUCCUUCUCCAGGUGUGGCAUGUAUGGAGUUUUGGGAUUGUAGUACCUCUGGUGUGGAACAUGUGCUCCUUCUGGGGUAUUUUGUCCACCUUUGGUCCCCACCCUGCACUCACCUGGGGCUCCUAGAAGCUGUCAGCAUGUGACAGCGGCUACACCCUGCAAAUGGCUUUGACUGGCAGGCUAUACCUGGUGAGGGUAGCUGAUGGGACUUCUCCUGUAUGCCUCCUCUGGAGUAUUGAGUGGACAAGACCAAUAGAAGGUCCAACAAUCAAGAAGGUUGUGCUGUAGAGGGAAGUGUGGGGCAGAUGGGGCUCAUCAACCUGGGAAGGUAGGAGAAGGAAAAUCAGCCCUAAAGCUCUGCUGCUUUGUGCGACAUCUUUGGGAGAAGAAAAGGCUAAGGAGUAAACAACACAAAUCCAUAGUGGAUUCCCUAAGAUGGCAGAAUGGCACCUUGCAUGCCUCCUUCCAGCAACUCCUGCAACCAAGCUGGUACCAAACAUUUUGCUCUGCUCAAAUGCUGAUGUUUCGCUCCUUGCCCAAGCAAAACAAGCAUGAUGAAACAUUAAAUUUAAAAAGGUUUAAAAUCCCACCCCCCACUGCUGAGUACAUUGUAACUUUUCAGCAAGUAUGGAAAUGCGGUCUGACGCUGCAAGUGUUUAACAUCCACAUCUGCAUGUAAUUUAUCCAAGUAAAUUACAGGUAACUUAUCUCUUGGAAGUUAUAAAAAAUGCAUGAAUGAGUUAAUAAGCAUGACUGGAAUAAAUGAAUAUUAAGUAAAGCACGCCAUAUAGAUAGUUCUUCCCUGAGCCACUACUGCAUGCCUCAGGUGCGCUGAGAAAUGCAGAGCUAAAGACUGCCUGAAUUCAGCCAUCUGAGAAGUGUGGCCAUCUCCUAGAAAUUGACUAGAAAUUGGCAGUAUUUACACUUUUAACUAGUACUGUUGAGCUGGAGGCAGAUAUCAAUGUUUCAUUAGUGGCAAUUUUAUUCUUUAAAGGCUGCUACUCAAUGUGUCUUGUACCAUACUAAUGUCCCAGUACUUGCAUUUAUUCUGAGCAGCCAGAGAGGAAUGAAAAUAUAGAAGAGGUUGUCUCCCAUCCCCAGUGCAGUUCAGAGGUUGCCCAAGUGAAAAUGUCUACAUGCAUAUUUUAUCAAAAUUGCAAUCUUUGACCCCAAAAUUGCAUUUAAACACCCAGGCAGUGUGACACCUGGAUGACGCAAACUUUGUUUUGCAUGUCAGUUUGAGAGAGUAUUGAGUUUUCAUACAGGAAUUCACAAAUACUGAAUUCCUCAGCCGUACCCAUUUCCUUGCUGUCAUGAAUCACCAUAGAAAACAGAACGCAGCAUAGUCUUGACUCGGGUGCUCUGGCACAAUCAGCAACUGCUUGGGUGGAUGUAUACAUUGAAAUGAGGCAGUGUUAUCAAAUUAUCAUGAAGAUGGAUUCCUAAUGUGGAAAGCUGAAGUUUGUGUAUGUUUGGUGUGUAACAUAAACAUUUCAAAAAGGUCUGUUUACCUGAUUUCUGGGAAAGUGUGGCCAUGGCAAAUGGGGCUCCCUUCUGCAGCACGGGCUGGUGUGUUUGUGUGGAGUGAGUUCAUGCCACUUUUGCCAGCUAUGCUGGUUGCUGGGGCCUCUUUCACGGGCAGCACAGUCAAUCACAUUGACAUGGCAUAGGGAGAGGGCAACAGGGCAGACUUCACCUCACAGUCUUCCCUCUGGUCCACUCCCUGGAAUUCUAAGCUCGCCAUGCCCAUGCCUUGGAUACAGUUCUCCUCCUUCCUUCCAUUUGAUUUGUGUUUGGUAGCUGCCCAAGUGCAAGUGGGCUAGCUUCUGUGUGCCUUGCUACGGAAGUGCUUUGGUCACCAUUUGGGGGGCCAGGGAGAAAUUUCCCCUUGAAGCCAAUUGGCUGGUCUGGGGUUUCUGCCUAGCUCAUAGCAACUGUCAGAACUUGAUGGCAGGCAAGGCGCUGAAGAUGAAUCCUUCGACUAAGUGUGUGAGGGGUGGGGCUUCCCUGAAAUGCAGUUAAAGGGAGCCUGGGGCAGGAGCUUCUUAGCUGGAUGCCCAGGGGAAGACAGGCCAUAGCACCCCCCAAAUGUUGGCCCAGAAUUGAUGCACAUCAAAGGGUCAACCCGUAACCUUGGUCAACCCUGUCAAACAUCAACUGGCAGGCAGGCUGGUUGAUGUCAAGAUACAUACCCAAUGCCUAUGCCAAAACCUGCUGAUAUCGGUAAUCAAUAAAGUUCUGGCGUGUUUAAUCCCUUACUGCUGUCAUCUGUUUUAAUUCUACCUAUGUUGUAUUCAGCGCCUCUUCUGCCCUUGGCCCCACAAACAUUAAGCCCUAUAUGAAAGAGGACUUACAUAUGUCCUAAGUAAAAUGUCUACACCAUGUCUAUGACAGAACAUUGAGGGACCAGGUUUUAGUAGAUCGCCACAUUUUUAAUGCUUGAAAUUCAUCUUUCAUUAAUGAAAAAUUAUCAAAGUCCAAAUCAGAAGACCUUGAUUACUUUUCUUAGAAUCUCCAUUGGUUUUCAUGACAAAUAGCGUGAAAUCAUGUCACACUGCAGUAGCCAUGGAAAUGAUGUAUAUUAUCUCAGUGGAUAUUGCAUUUUGACAGGCAGCAAGAUGGGCCUUGAAAUCAGAGAUCUAGAGAUGUUCGGGGUGGGGGGGGGGGAGAAACAAACAGAAAAACUCAGAAACCUUUGCACCAACCAGACUGAGACACGUCCAUUUAACAAUAUGUGCGUCCCAAUGCAUCCAACCGCAGUUUAGUAUGAAAAAGGUAAAGAUGGAGACACAACAUUCUCUGCUCUGUAAAAUUAAAAGAUGGAAAUCCCAACAGAUAGAUAAUACCUGCUUGAGACAUCGCUCUUCCAGUUCACAGAUGCUGCCAAAAGCAGGGUUUUUGCUUCUGCUAAUAUUGGUUGGGAAACAUUAAUAUUUAUAGCUUAGCAACCAGCAGAGAGAUAACAAUUAUUUAUGGUGCAGGAAACACAGACAAUGGAGCAAAAGAAAUCCAGUUUUCCUGAUCAAGAAUCGUCUUCACAAACACAGUCUCAAAUAAGUCUGUUCAAGCUGGAGCGGAACAUAUUCAUUAUGAAAGCCUGUAUUACAUUUUAUUUUUCCCCUCAUGCCUUCGCCUGAAAACUCCCACAGAAUAAUAUUGGGUGGUUAUUUUCUUUUCUUCUUAUCCCCCGAAAGUACAACAAGCAGAGCCAUAUCCUUUCUGACAAAUGACCCCUCAGUAUGCAUUUCCUGAUAUACUGUGUCAUAACUCUCUCAUCACAUCAAUGUUCUUCUGAUUAAAAGAAAGAAAAGAAACUGCUGCUGCAUUUUGAUCUAGUGUAAACCAAACCUCCUCAUUUCGUAAAACAUCACUUUAUGCAAAUAUAAUGAAAAACUAAUUAUUGUCUCCCACCAAGAAAUCCAAACAAUGUAUUAAGACAAACAAUGACUGUAUUGGUCUGUCAGCUCUUCUAAUAUUACUCUAAAACUUGUGUCCCUCAAAUGAAUAAUUACCUACAAAAUAAUUAAAUGUUGCUGAUAUGGUGAGCACAUCCCACUUGUACAUAGAACAGCAAAGCUUGUCUUCCCUGAAAUCCAUCUCAGUCAUGUUGGAUGAGCUUACUGUCCAUCACACGGCUGGCAUCGAUCCCUGCUCAAUUACGGAAGAAACAUAGCACCAUAUUAAAUGACAAAUAAGGCUUAAUUUUAAUCACAGGCAGCCUGUAAGUCCAUGUUUCAUUAUAGAUUAAAGGAACCAAUUAUUUUUAAAAGAAAGAUUUAAUGAAAGGCCCUUAGUAAUAUAUGGACAUGUUGCCCUCUCUGCAUUUGCAAGUCAAGCUCUCCAGUAAUGGUUGAGAGACUCUGCAAACAAUCUCAGCAUGCAGUGAAGAUGUUCUCUGGGGAUUCAUAGUUCUAACUUAAAAACCACUAAACCACACAACUUCAGGACAUUCUCUCUGUAAUUAUACCAGAACACAUCACCCUGAAAAACUACAUUGGACAAUAAAUGGUGCUUGUACAUUUGUCAACUGCAUCGGUAGAAACCAAUACGCAGUUUAGGGCUAUAGUCGCAGGGCUAUCUAGGAUAAUCUAGGCCCAGUCCAUAUGUUAAUAGGACUAAAUGGGUCCCUGCAGUAGGGGACUGCAUGUGAUGUCAAUUCAAGUGCCUUGUGUAUAUCGUAACACUUACAACAGCCAAUUGGUGUGAUCUUUCCACACUAUUUUGGAGAGGGAAGACCCAUGCAGUUUCCUGACCUGCACCAAAAAGGAUGUCAUAACACAGGAAGGGGUAUGCGCUAUAGGAGGAAACUUGGCUGGUCAGUAAUUGCAUGAUCAGCGUACUUCCCUACAUCAGGAUCCUCCCUUUAUGCUUAGGUAAAGAGAAAGACUGAACAAGCCACCAAUCACUCUGACAGUAUUUUGUGACAUACACAAGAACAUGGGGUUCUGCGUCAUAGCAAGUCAGAUCGAUGUGCAGCUAGCUCAGAAUACAGAAACUAGCAGUAGCUCUCUAGGGUCACAGGCAGGAGUCUCUCUCAGACCAGACUAAAGAUGCCCAGGAUUGAACCUGUGACCUUUUGUCUAUGAUGCCUAUGCUCCAUCACUGAGCCACAACUCUUCUCCACAAGUUUGCAGCUGACAAAGUGAGUUUAAAAACACAAGGGUAAGUUGUUCUGCAUGCAAAACAUUCUUCUGCUUACAGAGAGAGCACUGUUUUCUUAAUACAAGCAAACUCGUGCACAAACCACAAGAGAGAGAAAAUACCAGAAUUCAGAUUUGUCCAAGUGCACUGGCUGUUUUGCUUUAUUUACAUGCCUCACACUGCACAUUUGCUUGUUCAGGGUCUUGCACAUUCAUGCACUGAGAUGCUUGAGUAUCUUAUUUUUUUGCACACAGAGCCCUCUGGCCAUUGUUUUCUGCAGUAUUAGUUUGCACAAUGUUUCCUGCAGUGUUAUUUUACUUACAGAGCUCUGACCCUGGAUCUGCCACAUACAGAAAGACUCCUGAACAGUAUCUAAUUGAAUGACAAACUAUUUUCAGACACUGGACAGCUCACAUGAUAGAUGCCUGUGUAUUGAUGAAUAUCUACGUGCACUUAUUGUCAAUCCUAUGAAAAACAACCUGAACCUACAAACAUAGUGUGUGCAUGUGAACUAUUUGGUGGAUAACAUGUUUGUGCAUAGGACUCAUGCUACAUCUAGCAAUUAGGUUGUAUGAAAUGGGCUUCAAAUCAGUUCAAUCAUAUAGAUCAGGAUCUGCACUAGAAAGCUUUUCAUGCAUAAGUGAUGGUUGCUCUGCAGAGGUCUUCUUGAGAAUAAUCAACAGUGCUAUAAUAUAGCACAAAUAAUGACAGUUGUUACCAUGGUUUCCAAAACGAUUCAGAGUUAACUGUGGUGCACAGCUGGACAAUAAAUCCAUAGAUGAAAGAGACAAUGACUAUUGUUUUUACUUGAUAACCUUUAGAGAUAUAGAGUACUGUAGGCUUAUUCUUCAUAAACAAGUUGAAGAUAAUUAAUGGGAAACCUGGGAAUUUCUUUAUGCAAAAUACUGUAAUGCAAUGCUAUUUCCUGAACACCAAUUUAAUGACUAAGAGAAAUCCAAUUCAAUCAAUGAUAUAAUUCUUAGUAUUCCUAAACUUUAUUAGCCUCAAUAGUUAGCUAUCAGUCAUUUAGUUACUUCGGUUUCACUAAUGAUACCCAACAAUUUGCAAAUUAUAAUUAAUUUUUUACAGAAGCAACAUCAGAUACCCUAUGCAGAAAAUCCUAUUUUCCUGAGCUGAAAAGCCUGAUGUAGGAACAGAGGCUCCAUCAGUAUCUUUACAUGCUUGUUUUUUUGCAGGGAGUCAGACUGAAUUCAGCUCUCUACUCUUACACUCCACAAGAUAUGUACCACUGGAAACAAUUUGUUUGGAAUAGUGCACACAGAUCUUAGUUUCUGAAAUCAGGAAGCCUUGUAUGUGAGAUCAUUCAGAGCACAUUUUUUCUCCUCUUUGAUUGAGGGAAUUGAAUAAAUACAGCAGGUGGAAUCCAGCUGGCACCCUUUUAAUCCCCAACAGAAAAGGAGGGAAGGAGAUGGUUGGGAAUCACCACCCCCAGAUAGUUGAGGGACCCUCAGAACAACAUGGAAGGUGGCAUGUGGGCUGCAGGGUGGAAUGGGAAUUGGUGUAAAUUUCAUCCCCUGCUCUUCUGUUGCCAAAGGCAUCUAUUGGAUCAAAAGCACUUUGGCAAGUGCUAGAGCAGAAAUCAGACUCCACUCAUUGCUUGCAAAUAUACUAUUAAGAAUGGCAUGUGCACGGUGUAGCAUGAAAAGCUCUUUGCAUUCCCAAACAGUUUGAGCCUUAUACACUAGAUGCUUUAUUUCUGCAUCUGUAAUGAGAACAGAAAACCCGUAUCAAAGAGGGCAUGGGUUUGGUCUUUAAAUGGCUUCCUUCCAUUUUCUGUCCUAUGCUAACAGCAUUAGCACAUGCAUUCAUACACCACACCAGAAGCUCAAACAGAUACUUCUUAAAUAUUUGAAGUACAUGUCCCAUUUACCCACCACUGACACUUAGUCAUUGUCACAUCAAUGAGAAAGUACUUUGGACAUGGACACACACACACACAGCCCCCAGAAUUAUUACUAAUAAUAAAACAACAGAAAGCUAACGUUUAAGAAAAUAUUCUACAAAUGAGAAAAAACUCUGGUGCAAAACUUAAUUGUUUGAUGUGCUUGUACCAAAGACAGAGAGAGACAUCAUAGGAGUAGGCAAUCUUUAGUCUGUCAAGGUAAGUGGUGAGCUAGACCUUCUUCUCUUUCUGCCACCACUUGACUCUCUCCCCCUGCCUCCUUCUCACCCCUUUUGUGCCCAGCAGUCAGCUCUAGCCACAGGGCUAACUAAUAGCUUUCACAGGAGUUUUGAAAUUAGGACAAGGGCUACAGACAAACCCAGUUGCCACUUAUAGGUUGCCCCACUGAGCCAUAGACAUUCACCUAUUGAACUGCUAAGUGACCGUGCACUGAGUCUUUAUAGACAGUACCUUGUAUCAGUGGGUGAUUUUGCUGAGAAAUGCCUUCGUGGUAGGCUAAAUGAAUAAACAAUCAAUCACUCUCUUCUUCCAUAGUUUCUCAGUCUUAUUAUAAUUGCCACAUAGUGAAACAGAAAUAAAAUCAUAAGUUCUUCCACAGCAUUGUGUUUCCCACAUCUAAUUAUUCAGACAUUUGGAGAUAGGAAACUUUUACCCCAGUACAACAGAAUAUUCUUCCUCCCACAUUCUCCCUUCCCAGAAUAUAUCCCAGCUAAGCACUGUUUAUUUUAUAUGCAAAGGAAGUUUGUUUUUUGCUUGCAUAAUUGAGUUAUAAAUAAACUGACCAUUUAAAAAUUUCCUUCAAGGUGUUAGCAAAAGAAUUGUAGUUGUUUUCAGGUGAUUAUGUAAAUUCUUCUACAUAAACAGGUAAGCAAGUAUUGCUUUUGCUCUAGUACCUAGGACCAUUAAAAUAUCUCAAAUAGAAAAGCAAUUGAUCUUCAAGGCACUAAAUGAAGAAUACCUCCAAAAUAUAAAAGGUAAAGGUAAAGGACCCCUGACAGUUAAGUCCAGUCGCGAACGACUCUGGGGUUGCGGCACUCAUCUCACUUUACUGGCUGAGAGAGCCGACGUUUGUCCGCAGGCAGUUUUUCCAGGUCAUGUGGCAGCUUCUGGCGAAACCAGGGCAGCGCACGAAAAUGCCGUUUACCUUCCCACCGAAGAGUUACCUAUUUAUAUACUUGUGCUUUGGCAUGCUUUUGAACUGCUAGGUUGGCAGGAGCCGGAACCGAACAACGGGAGCUCACCCCGUCGCGGAGAUUCAAACAGUCAACCUUCCAAUCAGCAAGCCCAAGGCUCAGUGGUUUACACCGCAGCACCACCUGCAUCCCAUUUCUCAAAAAUAUAGGUCAUAAUAAUUACUUCCUUGGUUCCUUUAUCUCUCUCAUAACAUUGCUUUAAAAAAACACUUCUCAAAAGAAUGUUUAGCAGGAUAGCCAGUUCUAUAACUUUAUGGUCACGCUCCAAAGAGUCACAUCUAAAACACCGCAAGCAGGCUUUCUCUGACCUCUUUCUUAUUGCAGCCCCUCAUGGUCCUGAAAUAUGACGGAACAUCAUUUCUACUGGCAGGAUCCAGCUGAAAAUUAAAGUUGUUAAAUCAUGUCCCAUAUUUGAGUGGAACUGUGCGAGGGUUGACUCCAACUUAUGCAUAUUAUUUUCCAAACUGAAUUGUAUUACACAAAUAUUUCAUAAAUUUCUCAGAAGAUGGAAUACCACUUUGCAAGUGACCUUGUUUAUUGAGUACUCUUAUACUUUCAUAUUGAUAUUACUUGCUUUUAUGGAAAGUUUCUAAUCUCUCAAAAUUCAGACUACAUAUCCAGAAUAUUUUUAAGGCAUUAAUUUCACAUGAGUUUAACAUGUAGGAAAUAGAAAAUGUGUAAAAGAAUAAAUUAAUGCUAUAAACUGGCACAUAAAAUAUACAAAACUCCCACUCAUAUUCACAUUUCCAGACAACAACUCAAUAAUAUACUCAAGUAUUGAAAUGUUUGUGGAGCGCUUUUUUAUGUUCUCAUUCAUAGGCACCAUUUUGAAAUUAUCAGUCUCAUUCUGGCUGCAUUCAACUCUGAAAGCAUUCAAUAACCUUAUGAAUUUAACCAAACAACGUUUACUAACAAGCUUCAAUGUAGUACAAUGCAGAAUUUCUGACACAAAUACCUGGUGAUGAGUAGAAUCUCAUAUCUUUAAUUAUUGUUGCAAUUCAAAUGAUGAAAAUGUAACUGUGUACUCACCUGGAACCCAAAGGUUGUUGCUUCCAGGAAGUGGAGAUAAAGUCUCUUCUAUGAAAUUCAAGAUGUCUUCAGUGACUUUUACACUGAGUGACUAUAUCUACAGAAAAAUACAGCUAAAUGUUAGGAGAAGUUGAAUUCAUGGGGUUGAAUUCAAGUCUGUGGUGAUCACAGAUUUAGUUAGUUAGUUAGUUAGUUAGUUAGUUAGUUAGUGUGUAUACAAUCCUUCAUCUGUAGAUCUCAGGGAGGGUGACAACAUUGGGUAAACCCACUGAAAUCAAAGGCCAUGACUAGGUUAAGACCACUGAUUAAAAUGGCUGUGCUCUGAUUAUGACUGACUUGGUCUCAACCCAGAAUUUGUCUGAUCUCAUAUUCUACAGGGAAAAAGUCAACUGAUUUGAGAGCUCAUUUCAGGUUUAAAAUUAUUCAUGUAGAUCUUGCUCUUCAUCCCUAAGGAGAUCAGAGUUCACUAAAAAUUAUAGAACAAUAUAACAGACCAACAAAGAACAAAACCCACAGCAGCAAAAAAAAAAAAAAACAAAACAAAAAAAAAAUACCAGAGGGCUCAGGAGUUGGAGAGAAGAAAAUAUUUUAAACUACCUCAUUAAUGAAGCAAGUCAGGGAGCCAUCUGAAUUUCCCAGGUCAGGGAGUUUCAGAGGAUAUGGUAGAGGGUUAUUCACAGAAAAAGACCCUCAUCUUUAUUGUCACUUACUGAAUUCCUGAAAGGACAAUGAGAAGGCUUCUGGGCAAGAUCUCAGCUCUUGAGCAGGAAUAUGCUGAAUAAGGUCUUCUACAGGCAACCUGGUCCCAAGUGUUUUGCUUAACACUUUAUAGGUCAAAACCAGCAGUAGUAGUGAAUUAUUAUUUGACAAGCUGUUGCUGCUAAACAUGGGAUUUUAACUUCAGAACAAGCACUAAUGUGGAUAUUACAUGGAUAUCUUCCUCUCUGAAUCACAUUAGUCAUCUUCCGAUAUGGGGGUGGUGUGUUGCUCUUUGCAGGGUACAGUUAGUGUUACUGAAGCCAACUACGCUUUGUUGCUAUUCUGUUCUAUGAUCCUGGACAACGAAGCACUGACUACUAAUGUGAUAAUUAAAUUAAUCUCUGUAUCUUUUAGUCAUUCAAAUGUAAUUUUGCAUGCAAGUGGAAAUAUGCAUAGCAUCAUCUAGCAUUAAUGUCUCGAUAGGAAGAAAGAUCAUUAUUGCGGUAAUGAAGUUGCAGAAUUUCAAAACUACUUUUCUACUGCUGUCUCUGUGGAGAGAGGGUUUCACUUUUUAAGAAAAACAAUAAAAUCACCAAGAUCCAAUGGGAAAGAACUUGGGUAUGACAGUUGUCUUUUUAUUUGGAAGAGCAGACCCAUCUUCCUUUCAUAAAAGUAUCCAAAGUUUUCAGAGAUGUUGGCUAUGUGUGCAGAUGCAAAAACUGAUAUGUACAUGGAACUACUUGCAUAUUUCUUGAUAUCAGAGUGUAUAAUGCACAUUAGCAUCUUAAAAGGCAGUGAGGCUGUGCUCCUGCCACUGCGUUUCAAGUCACAUUUGCGCUUGCUGUUCACACCAGAGGUGUGUGGUUGUCUUCACCCAGUGUGCUGUACCCAAUUUGUUUCUCUGUACCUGCAAACACUCCCAGCCUGCCACAUCCACUGGAAGAGGAAGAGAGGUGGGGGGAGUGUACCACCCCGACACCACAAUCCCGUGGGGUGCCAUUGCGGUUGGUGUGCCACACCCCCAGGAUGCGUGCCACGCCCCUGCGGGUGGCACGCCAUGGCCCUGUCUGCUCUCUGUCCCCGGUACCAGAGCAUGAAGCUCCACCACUGGCCACAUCUAUUCAAGGAAGUUGUCAUCUGCGCAUGCACAAUGACUGUCUGAACUGUACACCCUUCAUCUUAAUGGCAGCUUGCAUUUACAAAUCAGAUGGAAGCCCGUUUGAAGUAUUUCUCAACAAACUGCAGGGUGCAUACAAAAUGUGGCUAACAACAUGGCUUCAUGGCACCAGAGGUUGGAGCAAACUGAAACCAGGGAAAGCGGUAAUGGGCUCUUAGCCCUGAAAGGUCUUAAAAGGCUAUCAAACCAGCAUGGGCAAACCUUAUAUCAAGGGUAGCCAACAUAGUGCACUCCCAGACUUGUAACAUUAGAACUGAAAUGCCCUGGAGUUCUCCACCUUUGGAGGCUACGAUAGGGAGUCUCUUUUUACAGGAAGGGCGUGAAAGCAAGGACUUACUGCAGCCAUGAUCAUGCUCCCUGCAGCUGCAGGAUGCUUCGUUGCCCUCUCCAAUUUUAAACCAAAGGGCAUAGAAAGACAGAAACUUCUGCCCUCAUGAUGAUGCAACAUAUCCAAUGAGAUUUGGCUACUCGAUGUCACUGAAACCAUGCAAGAGUGAAUGGAAUGCUCGCUGACCUUGUUCUGGCUAAAUACAGAGAGACAGAGAGACAGAGAGACAGAGAGAGAGAAUGAGAUUCAGCAACAGGAGAGAACUGCAGUUGCUGACAUAAGGGACAUAAACACAUAGCAAAUGGAAAUGAAAAAGGUGAAGAUGAGCCUCCUCCUUCAAAUCCUUGGCUUUUGAACCAAAAAGGUUUGCCUGAGAUUUAGUUCUAGCCUACUAAUACAGGCUCUAAAAAGAAGGUUUGCUUUAAUCAAUAGUGGUUUUAUAUUUUACAGUCAUGCUUUUAACUGGAAUGUUUUCUUAAGCCCUUUUUAGUUAUUUGCAAUUAAUUUAUAUGAGGUUUUUCAUGCUUCUGUUCUUAUUUUGUAAACCAUCUAAAGAAGGUUUGUAGUUUUACCUUUAAAGUGGCAUAAAUAAAUAAGGUUUAUUAAUCACUUAAAGCUGUACAUUGGGGGGGGUUACUAUGUUGCAUAAAUAUUAUUGGGAGAAAUUUUCAAAAAUGGGGGGAAAUAGUUAUUUUGGGCUUUAGCACUGCAUCACCAAGUUGAAUCCGAUGAGCAGCAUCUUGCUGAUAAAUUGUGGGUCAUACAUGUGCAAAUCACAAAGUGCUUAAAAAUAUACACAAAGCAUAUUCAUUAAGAUGCUCUAUUACCCGAUACAAUGUUUUCACUAUAGGGCAAAAAACAGGAAGCAGAAGCAAGAAUCUGUUUGGGAAACCCUAUAAGCUUCUGAAUUAGGGCACAAUCUUAUUAUUAUCAUUAUUUUCUGUAUCACCCUCACCUGAGUAUCACAGGGCAGUUUGCAAUAUAAAACACAAAAAUGAAUUACAUAGUAAAAAAAAACCCCAACUCUGCACACGCAGUUUAAAAGGCCAUAGAUUGUUUAAUUGGCCUAAGGCCCAGGAGACUAGAAAUGUUUUUGCCUGGGACCUUAAGAUAUGCAACAAAGGUACCAGGUGAACCUCCCUAGGGAAAGCAUUCCACAAGGGGGAGCCACCACAGAAAAGGCCCAUUCUCGUGUUGCUGCCCUCUGGAUCUCUGGCAGAGGAGACAAACAAAGAAGGGCCUCAGAUGAUGACUGCAGAGUCUGAAUUGGUUCACAUGGAGAGAACUACUCCUUGAGGUACUGCAGUCCUGAACCGUUUAAGGCUUUAUAGGUCAAAACCAGCACUUUGAAUUGUGCCCGGAGACGAACUGGCACAAUCCUGCAGCCAGGCCAGGAUUGGAAUUAUAUGCUCAAAUCUUGCCCCAGUGAGCAACCUGGUUGCUGAAUUCUGCACCAGGUAAGCUUCUUAACCAUCUUCAGAGGCAGCCCCAUGUAUAAACUCAUUGCAGUAAUCUAACCUAAUGAUUACCAGAGCAUAGACAACAGAAGUUAGAUUAUUUCUGUCCAGAUAAGUUCACAGCUGGUAGCCAAAGCUGAUAGAAGGCACUCUGCACCAUCGAGCCUCAAGCAACAACAGGGGACCCAGAAGGACCCCCAAGCUGUGUACCUGCUACUUCAGAGUAAGUGUAACCCCAUCAAGAGCAGACAACCUUCCAUCCAUCUGGCCUGGGGAACCACCCACUAAAAGGAUCUCAAUCUUAUCUGGACUGAAUUUCAGUUUGUUGGCUCUCAUCCAGUCCAUUACUGAGGCAAGACAACAGUCCUACACAUUCAUUGCCACACCUGCAGAUGUAAAGAAGUAGUGCUGUGUGUCAUCAUAUUGCUGACAACAAACUCCAAAACUGUAACUGCUUUCCUCAGAGUAAACCCACUGAACUCAUUGGGGCUUACUUCUGUAUAGACAUGGAUAGGACUGCACAGUCAAACUGUCUGAAGCAUCUACGGCUGGUGUCCCAGGUUUGAACAUUGCUAGUGAUAAAGAGCAUUUGGUAACUUGUCUAGGAAGUCCUCUCACACCAAUGCCAAGUCAGAAUGCGGGAAGGAAAGCACACAUGAAAGAAAAAGGAAGCUGCUAUCGAAUAAAUGGUGUCAUAGGCAAGUUGUCUUAUCUCACAAAAGCUCCUCACUAUUAAAUAAUCUCUCCGACUUGAAAGCAGUAUGGUGAUUUGUGUGAUGUGUGCAGCUAAUUAGAGCUCUGCUCGUACAAAGACCUAUACAUAUUCCUAACUUCAGGCACUUUCUGUUGGCAUUCUGCUUCAAAAGGAAUACUCAAUGGACAUAAAAUUAAGGGCAGGAAGAAAUCUUCAUGGAAUAGGGCCCUACAUAGAGAAGAAUAAAUAUAUUGGUAUGCCCCAUUCAUUGGUCUGGCCAUGAGUUAAUUUUGAAUAAACUCCCAAAACAGGAGUUUAAAAGACGGCAGUGAACAGGUCUAAAAAACACAAGUUAGGUUUUAACACACUUUGUAAAACCACAUUCCAUAUAAUAGUAAGUGAUCUCUAGGUGAGCUUCCCUCAUUUUUUAAUGUGUCAAGAUUGGGAGUGGGGACCUUAGGUUUUGUGGCUUUGUAUAUACAUAACCCCGAGCCACACGGAUGCCUAGUAUCAGCCUCUGGAAUUGGUAGUCAGCAUAACCUCUGGAUAUGCCAGGGUUACAAGGAUCAUGGCCUUUUGGUCUUGCCUAGACAAAAAAACAGGAUCUCCAACUCACAGCUGGCUCAGCUGUUUAGUCUUUACUGUAUGCAGGCUCCACGCAGGUACUGGUAACUAAGAUAGUUACUAUCCCUGGUAGAGCCCUUAACUUGGGCUUGUAGCAAGGUUUCGAAUAGCCUUGGGGUGGGCUAACCUGUGCCCCCCCAUGUUGUUUGAUGCCAACUCCCAUUAUUCCAGGCCAUGCUGGCUGGGUCUGAUAGGAGUUGAAGUCAAACAACUUCAAGAGGGCAACAGAAUAGUCACAUCUCCUGUCCUAGUCUAAGGGAAGAAAGGGAAACAAGGGGACUGAUGGCUGGAAUGUACUUAAAGGCAAAGUGCACAGUCAAUAAAUGGUGGGAGAAGAUGAUCCUUCACAUAACCUGCUCCUAAGCCAUUUACAGCUUUGGAGGUGAAUCUCAUCACUUUGAAUUGUGUCCAAAAGCAUGCUCAGGCUAACCCAUCCCAGUUGACAUGUAGCUGCCAGAGUCCAAAUAUACCUCACAAAGCUGCUGGGGUGAUAUAAAGUGGAGCAUGUACAUGACCCUAAACUCCUUGAAGUAAGAAAGGAAUAAAAAAUAUAUAGAAACAAACAAUAACAGAUGAUAAAAAAGAAUUAUUAACCAUGGGAACUUAAUUACUUUGGCACAGAAAGAUACAACAACGAUUAGCCCUAUCUAAGAACAGGAUUGUAUAUUCAACUAAAAUAUAUGCUGCUGAUGUUGUGCUUUACAGGUUAUAGUUGGCUUGCUUUUCAAUUCGUGGCAUUUUAUUGAAUACUGUUUUUUGAGAAUUUUGUGUUAGUGGUGUCUUGGGUUGGCAGGGUGGUAUAAAAUGUAAUAGAAUAAAUUGACUAGUAUCCUAGAUGGACAUGACUCAUCUUCAAGAAGGAAAUUGUGGUACAGUGGUACCUCGGGUUAAGAACUUAAUUCGUUCUGGAGGUCCGUUCUUAACCUGAAACUGUUCUUAACCUGAAGCACUGCUUUAGCUAAAGGGGCCUCCCACUACUGCGGUGCCGCCGCCACAUGAUUUCUGUUCUCAUCCUGAAGCAAAGUUCUUAACCCGAGGUACUAUUUCUGGGUUAGCGGAGUCUGUAACCUGAAGCGUAUGUAACCUGAAGCAUCUGUAACCCGAGGUACCACUUUGCCACUUAUCCUAAUCAAAGAGCUGUACAAAGUCUGUGCAUGUUCACCAAUGACACUGGCAAGGCUUGAUCACAGUUCACAUGUCAGCCAUUUAAGUUAUAUAAAUGUAAACACAGGUAGGGGAAAGAUGGAAUGCCCUUAUACUCCGACUGAAAAUACAGUUAAGCACAUGUGCCUGCAUUGAAGCUGGUUUAAUCAGAUUUCGUUCAAACAGAUUAACUUAUUUCUGUUGUGGCAAUUGAUUUGUUGGCAAAUAGUUCAAAUAUAAGUUAAGACUGCAUAGCAGAACUCUAGGGAACAUUAAUCUAGAUGUGUCCAGUAACAAGUGCCAUUAAAAAUGUGCAGUCUAAAACAAUGGAUUUCUAGAAGUAGCUUUACUGAAUCAGCAAACAAUUGUCAGGUUCCACUACUAUCAUAGCCUGCGUUUGCUGAAAGCCAGGACCACAUGCCCCACACUAGAUGUGCAGCAAUAACAACAGAUGUUCACAACACCAUAUAAUAUGAUGAUGUGUCAAUGAAACCUUUUACAAUACUUGGACAAAAACUGUAUUCAUACAGCCCAAUCCUACACAUGCUUACUCUGAAAUAUGGCCCUCUUUUUUCAGUAUGGUUAUUCGCAGGGAAAUUGUGCCUAGAUUUGGAGCAUUAAUUUGUUAAAUGGCAGUAGUAAAAAAAUGAAUGUACAAUUAUGCAAAAUAACUAUCUGAGCAAGAAUACAGUACAGCUAAAUUUCUAUUUCCUUGGAAAUGUGCCAGAAAAAAAUUAAAGAGGGCCAUCUAUUUAGUAUUGAUUCCAAAAUCCAUCCUUUGUAGUUCUUGCACUCAAAGAGAGAAUGGUGACUCCUCUUGGUAUUGUGGAAUGCAUGUUCAGAGUUAAUUUCACAUUGGUGUAAUCUCAAACAUAAGUAUCAACUGAGAUCACCACUACAUCCAUGGUUGGUAAUUAAAAGAGAGGCUCACACUUCUAAAAACAACUAUAUUAUAAAGAACACACACUCAAGGACAGAUACACAAAAGCAAAUGUGCUGGGAAAACAAAACGUAUUUUGCAAGGACAAACAGCACUGAAAGAAUAAUCCAUAAUAACAAGAGUUCAUAACUACUGUAAAAAGUUCAAGGAACCACAGUGUGUCAGAAGUUUCACUUGGAAAUUAUCACAGCUGUAAAUCUACAAAAAAACUUUGUUUCCAGUUGUACUUGUGACAGGUGGCUGUAACACAGCAGAAAACUCUUGUGAUAUAAAUUGUUCAAAGUGCAUAGUGACAUUGAAUUUGGGGGAUUUAGGACAGUGAAAAGGAAAUACUUAUUCACACAGGGCACAGUUCAAUCAAUUGAAUUCAACACUAUUUUUAAAUUUUAUUUAUUAGACUUAUAUACUUCCCUUCAUCAUAAGAUCUCAGGGUGGUUCAUAACAUAGGAGCUACAAAAUGUAGUAGAGGCCACCAACCUAAGUGACGUUAAAAAGGAGUUAGACAAAUUCAUGGAAUAUAGGGCCAGUAAUGGCUGUUGAUAUCAAAUGUGGUAUUGCCACCACAUACCAGUUGCCUGGAAGCAGAAGUAGAGGGAGGUGUGGGAAAUUGCAAUCAAACAGAACUGCACGAGUGCUAGCUAGUGCAUGAAGAGGUUAAGACCAUAGAACUGUGUUCCUAGACUAAGUUAGGUCACACACCUCUUACCUCUGUUGGGGAAGGAAGUGAAGCUUCUUCUCUCUCUUCACACCAUGUUAUUGACCAGAAAGGAUGUUUGAAGCUAUCUAUCUGUAUUUUGUAGUCCUAGCUGCAGCAUGGAAUGGAACAUGAAUCAGACCUUUGGACUUUGUAAGUAAAGCAUUUUUAUGGUAAUUUUAAAAUUGUCUGAAGUCACUCAGAGUGGCUGUGGCAAUCCAGUCAGAUGGGCGACAAAUAAAUAAAUAGUUAUUAUUAUAAUAAACUUACUUAACAGUGUGUUGGACCUGUUCAUUGCCAGGAAAAGGCAACCUAUAUCCUGGUGCGAUACUGCUGCUUAAUUUUGUGACUGUUUUAAACUCUGUGGGGGCUCUCCCCUGUUGGAUGUGUUAAACCCCAUGGUUUGAAUCCAGGCAUCCAGCCAAUUCUUUUGUUCAUUAUAACAUCGGUCAUGGAUCUUUAUUUUCUUCCCACAAAAGAGGGCUGUUGCAAGGGAAAUGGGCAUCUGGCUGGCCACUGUGAGAUCAAUAUGCUAGUCUAGGUGCCCCUUUGGUCUGGUCCAGCAGGGCUCUUCUUGUGUUUCAGAAAUAGGAACACGAUGUGUGUGGGGGGGGGGCUACCCAUAAUUCCUGGAUUUAGUAAAAGUUAGAAUUAAUCAAGGUUUGAUUAAACUGUGCCAAAUGCCUAACUUCCAAAGGAAACACGAACCCCGAGUAAGCGCCAAGCUCCCACACCGCUUGGAGAUUGAGGCAUAUAACAAUUAUUAUGUGUGUAUACAUUGAGUUGUAUCCAACAAUGUCAAUCGGUUGAUGGCAAAGGUUUUGUCAGCAGAAUGGGGAGGGAAGCAAUUUUCAGUUAUUCCCCUCAACCUGCACCCCUCCUCUAAAUCUGCUUUAAAGUGUUCCCCCUACCAUUUGCAACAGAUUUGAGGGACGAGGGCUGUACUGGAGGGAAUGGUCAGAAACUGCUUCCAACCACAUUCUGUUGACAGAAACCUUGGCUACAACAGUGUACAACACUAUUGGGUCAUUGUUUUUUAUUUGUUUUAAAUGAAAAUGUUUCUAAUAUUGAAGGUGUUCUUCCCUAUUACUCUAAGUUGUUUUAAUAAGGAAUAUAUCUCGAUCAAUGCAAUGACGAUGACAGUAAUUCUGCCCAAUGAAUUCAGCAAAGAUCAUCCAGCAGUAUCCUUCCCCUCAUUCACACUAUUAAAAACUGAAAUCUCACCAAGUAAUUCAGCUGGUGUCAGCUUCCUUCAUCUCAAUACCAUAUACUCAAUGGGAAACUUAUAAAAAGACACCCAAACUUAUCUGAGAAUGUUAUCCAUUCCAUGGUGACAGGUUUUAUUUUAUUAUUAUUAAAAAUGGGAAUCUUUCAAUUAUAGAAGCAAGAGAACAUAGUAUAAUAUAAGGAAGCUGUCACUAAAAGGAAAUGUCUAUCAAGUCAGAUGUCUUUCUCCUGUGUACAUGGGGAGGGAAACUCUUGGUAUAAUAACUGAAUGCAUACCUCUCUCUGCACCAAGCUGAUGGGUGCAACACAUGUAAAUAAAAACAUUGUAAGAGAUAUUUGCUACAGCAGAAAAGUCUCGCUGAUGUGAACAAACAGAAUAGGAUACAGCUGCCAAAGAAAAUACUGACACAGCAUAUGGGCUGUGAUGGUUUUGAUACGUUCACCAUUUGUCAGCCACCGUGAGUGUUAGAACUAGGAACUGACAGCUCUGUACCCAGCUUCCCCAUUGUGUGAUGAGCCCCCAGAACUACAGGGUGGAGCGUCUCACAGAAUUGUAGAGUUUGAAGGGACCCCAACGAUCGUCUAGUCCAACCCCCUACAAUGCAGAAAUCGCAGCUAAUUCUUUUUGUACAGCAAAAUGGGUCUAAGUAUUAGCCUGACUCUGCCCAACCAAGUUGCCUAUCAGCUCUCCUCAACAGGAAGGACCAUAAAGCCUCUCUGCUCCUUGUCUGGACAAUGUUAACCUUUUUCUGGCUCUCAUUUAACCUCUCAGCUCACUACAGUUUUAACUAGUUACACGGUACAGUAUGAAAUAAUCUGGAAUCGCCUUCCUCAAUAUGGUGAAGUCUAGAGGUGUUUUUUCUUUUACUACAAUUGAUCAUACCUGCUGAUUGGCUGUGCAGGCUAAGACUGAUGGAGUUGUACUGAACAAGGCUGAUCUAGAAGUCUAGGCCACCAUCCUAUGACAUACUACCUUAAUAUAUGUUGAAGAGGCUCCCCAUUUGGAACAUCCCAUGGAUUUACCAUCUGGUUUCCCCUUGAGAGAUUUCAGGGCAUGAGCUUUGAGAGGACUAGCAAAAUUUCUUAAAAGGAAGCAUUCAUUGCUUGAGAGACACUGAAAAUAUAAAAGCAAGUCAGGAGUCAAACUGCUGUGGCCAUCAUCUGCCUUUCCCUUUCAUGCAGAAGGAAAUGCAAGACCUGUGACUAGAUUUGCCACACAGUUGCUCCAAAAGUAAACGAUAAACAUAUCGAAAAUGUGAGAGAAUCAAAAAGAGAUUCAGUAAAUAUGAGUAGUAAAAAAGGAUGUAUACAGCCUUUCAUGUAACCCUCAUGUAUAUUGUCAGUGCUUUUUUUUGUGAAUCUUCGUACUUUUGUCCAUUUACUGUAUUUAUUUUCCCCGAUCUGAACUAUAAAAUGGUGAUUUUCUUGAGUCAAAAUGAGAGUACCCCUAAACAUUUUAUAGAAAAAAUCACUGUAUACUGCACAAAUGAAGCUUUCUUUCUUUUUUUUACUAAAAAAGGAAGAACAAAAAGGCAAACCUGAAAAGAGAGGCACUACCCUCCAGUGGUGGCAAAAACUGAAUAAGGUGGCAAUUGUAUGCCGUUACCUGCAUUAAAGUCAAUGGGGCUUACUUCCUAGCAGACAUGUAUAGGACUGCAAUGUAAAUAAAUGGGACAAUUAAUCACUAAACUACCAGCUUCACUGAGCAAAAAAAACAAAAUAAAACCGGCAAACAGGAAGUGUUAUGUUGAAAUAAUAAUUGCCCUUAGAAGCCUUAAUAGUGAUUUGCCAGUCUACACUGAAUCAGGUGGCGGUGCAACUGUGUUUUUUAAAUUAUAAUUUUUUGCCAUGAGUUAGGGUCUGAAAAAAACAUAACAAGAAGAAAACACACUGAAAUGGAGCAAUGUCAUGGGAAUCCAUUGACUGAACAGAAACUAGAGGAAGUAUUUAGUGUAGAAGCAACUAGAGUCCCCAUUCCUCUCUCAAUCCAAGGAAAUGUUCUGACUUUUAACAGGUGACCUGGGACUGUCCACUUAGCAUGCAGGGCAACAGUAAUUGUAAAAUAUUUUUGCUUUUACAAUACAGAAAAAAUGACGCCAGGAAUGAGAGAAUGGGAAAUAUCAUAAAUGAUGGAGUUGGAGUUUAGAAUAAAAUUGAGAACAUAGGCAAGAGAGAGGAUGAAAACUGGGAAGCCUUUUUGUUUUUUUUUGUUUAGAUCCAUGAAAGUUAAAAAGCAUGGGUGGGUGAGACAGAAAUACGAAUCUGGUUUUCAUCCAUGUCAAUAUGGCAUAUGGCCAGGAUAUUUGUCUAGCACAAUUCACGAUCUACAUGAUAAUAUGUAGUAAAACAAUGCAUAAAAUGUUUAUACAAGCAAGGGAAAUAAAAGCAAACGUACUGCUAUAUGCAUCAUCUUCAACAUGAAGAUUGCCCUUAUGUUUUUUCAGAUCCACCUAUCAGCUGCUAAAAUUGAAACUGUACCCAUGGCGCAAACGCAACUUAACACAGGAAUAAAUGCUACUCUGAAUGGAAAUUAUAAACGACAAAUUAUGUAUACCAGUUGGAAUUACAAUCCCUGAGAAAUUGCUUGUUUUCAGCACUGAGACUAGAAGCAAAUAGGUGUUUUCUAAAUUAUCUAGCAGAUGGUUCAGACAUAAGGACAGCUUGCUAGAAGCAGGACAAGGCUAAUUAGCCCAUCUUGACUUCCCUUCUCCUCCUCAGCAUUCACUCCCUGAUCAUUUCUCCCCUGUAACAGAUCAGCUUCUCUGUGGUUAGAAAAUCAUCGACACCCCUGCAAUGAUUUUUUCCCAGCAACAUUCAGAGCAGAUCGUAGAUAAAACAAGCAAGACAUCUCAUGCAAGCAGAAAAUAACCUGCUUGCUUGCCAGAAUGACCGCUGCUUCUCUCCCCCCCCCUCAGGGCGGAGGUUUUGUGCUUUUGAUAGAUGUAUGACAAGAAGUAAUUCUGCCGGUAAAGCAUUCAAACAGCUACAUUUCCAUGCUAGGAAGGUCCUUUUUACUGUUGAAUUUCUACAUGCUGUGCAGCUGUUAAAGGCUCAUCAGCCUUGCCAGAACAAAAAGGUGGCAUCCCCAUUGGGGCAGUAUUCUGCAUUUUACAGCAGCUACCCAUGUUAUAUAGCUUUUGCAUUUUGUGAGUUUCUUUCCCUGUCAAAGUCAUGGACUAUCACCCAGAAACAUACCAUGAAUAUUUAAGCAGACUGACUCUUUCAAUUUGUACAGACUGCUAUGCAGGAUCAACACACGCCAAUAUAAAGAUUGAAAUCAAUGUGCUGGAUUGACUGGGUGAAGCGUGAGAUGGUGCUAGUGUUUCAAACACAAGUUAAAAAGGAGUUUUCAUUUAACUCCUAGCUCCCCUGCAGAAGUAACUGUAGCCCUUGUAGCCAUUUCACUUUCAAAUUGAAAAGCCUUGUAAAUUUCUAGGAUCCGAGCCUAACAUUCUGCAAACAUCUUCCACAAGCAAUGUCACCAUUAUCCCAAGAGUGUGCACAGAUGGGGAAAAGGACAGGAAGAAGAAGAAGAAGAAGAAGAAGAAGAAGAAGAAGAAGAAGAAGAAGAAGAAGAAGUAGUUUGGAUUUGAUAUCCCACUUUAUCUCUACCCGAAGGAGUCUCAAAGCGGCUAACAUUCUCCUUUCCCUUCCUCCCCCACAACAAACACUCUGUGAGGUGAGUGGGGCUGAGAGACUUCAAAGAAGUGUGACUAGCCCAAGGUCACCCAGCAGCUGCAUGUGGAGGAGCGGAGACUCGAACCCGGUUCCCCAGAUUACGAGUCUACCGCUCUUACCCACUACACCACACUGGCUCUCUGCAACUCCUGCAACUUUAAUAGUUGUAUAGAAUAAGGAGUUGCAACAGAUGUUUCUUGCAUAACAAAAAUUAAGGGGGCAUGAGCCUUAUCUUUUUCAUCUGGUGAUCUACAGCUGUUGUCGGGCUACAACUCCCAUCAUCCCUGAACAUUGCUCCUGCUAACCAGGGAUGAUGGGAGAUGUAGUCCAACAGCUAGAGACCCAAUUUUGAGAAACACUGCAUUAAUAGGAUCCUAAGGGAGGUGCUUCUGUUUAUGCACCCUGGCGGGGUCUGAGGGCCAUAACACUCACCAAGGUGGUGAUCCUGAGGGAGUUGCACCUAUUUGAUGUAUGUUAUAGGUCAGUCCUAUAUCAGGAACGACCCCAAUAGAAUCUUCCAGCAGGUGGACUGGUUGAUAUAGGAGAUACCCAAUGCCUAAACCAAAACCCCAAACCAAUCUGUAAUCAAUAAAGCUGUAGCCUAAUUUGAACCAAAAGAACAUUGUACUGUGGUCCUUUCAACUUCUACAUACACAGCAACAGGGGAGUAGCAAUAUCACUGCACCCAGACACAAAAAUACUUCACUCACAGCUGUUCAUAGAGCCCCACAUCUUUCACAAACCACAGAAAACCUCCAACACGGAGCCCCAGAGAUUCUUGCUCCACAUGGAAAACAAAUGCAUAAGACCCAAAUCACUAACCCCAAUGAAGAAAAGACUAUGUCUUCUCUCUUCCACCUCCUCCCUGUCUCUUUUUCUCAGAGUUUCAUCUGGGCUCAUUUUAAAAUCUCAUUCACUGCAGCUGUGACAUCUCUCGUUUCACUCCUUUGGCCUCCUCACCUGUUUCUCUUGCUAGCAAACCUCCUUGGCUGGACUUGCUCUUAUAGCUGGGCAGCCUCUGCAGCCAGAAAUCUCAGCAGGCUGACAGGCAUGGUCUUAUCCACUGUAACUUACCCCUAAUUAAUUUUAGAAAUUCUCUGGAUUAAACUAGAAUUCAGGAGAAGAGAAACACAGCACAGCCUGACUCGAUGCAAUUAUAAAGGGAUGGAAAUCUGGAGAAAUCAGCUCAUGCCUGAAAAGGAAUGGAAAUCAGGGCGGGGAGGUGGAGAGAGAGAAUCAGUUCAUACCUAGAGAGAGCAUAAAAUCUGGUUUUUAAAAGUGCCACGUGUCACUGCCAGCCUAAAGGCAAGAAAUCAGGGUCACAGCUGUCUGCAGCUACAGAAUAUUUCAGCAAUAAGCCAGUUAGCAACCGCUGGCCUGAAGGCAAAAAUCAUGUCCAUAACUCCCCUACAGCUAUAGGAAAAUCCGGCUUGGCCUGCAGGGCAGCUAACCUGAAGGCACAAAGCUGUAGGUAAGGAAGCAAGCAACAAAACAGCAAUGUCAUCUCUAAAGAGGUAGUGUCUUAAGGACUGGACAUUUAACUUACGCACUUCACAGAAGUUCACAGACUGUUGUAGUAUUGUCAGAGUUUAAGAUCUUUUAUGCUCUGUAAGAAUUUAAGCCCGCUUUAUGCAUGGGCCCUAAACAGCCUCGGUCCAGUAUACCUGAAGGAGCAUCUCCACCACCAUCGUUCUGCCCGGACGCUGAGGUCCAGCGCCGAGGGCCUUCUGGCGGUUCCCUCAUUGCGAGAAGCAAAGCAACAGGGAAUCAGGCAGAGGGCCUUCUCGGUAGUGGCGCCCGCCCUGUGGAACGCCCUCCCAUCAGAUGUCAAAGCGAUAAACAACUACCUGACAUUCAGAAGACAUCUUAAGGCAGCCCUGUUCAGGGAAGUUUUUAAUGUGUGACAUUUUAGUGUAUUUUGGGUCUCUGUGGAAGCCGCCCAGAGUGGCUGGGGAAACCCAGCCAGAUGGGUGGGUUACAAAUAAUAAAUUAUUAUUAUUAUUAUUAUUAUUAUUAUUAUUAUUAUUAUGGCACCUCCGUCUGAAGAAUGUGACUGUGCUGCUGGCCACACCCCUUGUGUGUCAUGCGGUACUGCAGAUUUCUUUCCCUGCUUAUACAGUGGUUUCCUGCCCUGAAGGACUCCAGACCAAGGCAUGGAUGCUCAGGGGGUGAGGCCAGUGAUGGGCCUGAGACCAGGGGAUACCAGGGGCAAGGGCCUACCUUCCAGCUAUCAUUCAUAUGAUUAAUGCAUCAACGAGUCUGAAGUCUCACUGUCAAUUCACAUUAACCAGGAAUCCUAAUUUUUGCAUCCCGCACAGCACACCAUCACAGCAAGAGUUAGCAUUGCUUCCAUUGCUAGGGGCAUUUCUUUUUUUUAACAUAGAGCACAUUCUCCCCCCUCCCUUACAUGCUUUUUGUGACUCGCUGAAUACAGUUGUCAUGGCAUCUAACAUGGGAAACUAAAAUUUUUGAGCGAGGUUUCCUGUCUGCCAGAUUUAAUUAGAAGGAUCUGACAGGUGCAUAUUUGUAUGAAUUGAUGUGGUCUUUGCACAGGUGCCUCAGCACCACUGCUGAAAAGGAAGCAUCUGGGCUGCCCUCCUGGGUGCAUGGCCUGGCUUCUCCUGGGAUGGGGAGGAAAUUAGUGGGAUGUCAAUGCUGUCUUGAAACAUGAAUAAUUAAGGUUUUAUUUUUGUCAACAUUGGGAAAGAUUUAUGUUCCCUUUUGGACUUCCAUGCGACGUCAUCAUUGCUGUCUAAUUGAUUCUGAAUGCUUCUAUCAAUUGUGACUCUCUCUUCAUCCUCUUUAAUGACACCUCUCCCCCCCCCAUGCACCUAUUUAUAUCUUAUUAUGAUUUUUUUAUAUAUAUAUAAAAAAAUCUUUUUCAGCAAUUUAUUAAAUACAACCUUUACCAAGCUGGUAACCUGCAUAUGUUUUGGAGUUCAACUCCAAUCAGCCCCAGCCAACAUAGCUGUGUAGACUAGGGGUCAUGGGAUCUGGAAGCCCAAAACAUUUUGAGGGCACCAAGGUGAAGAAAGUUGAUUUAACACAAUAAUAUCCUAGUACUUCUGCAUCAUAGAACUCAAUGUGUUAAGUGGUCUCCCAACCAGGCACGGAUACUACCUAAACCUGGUUGGUUUCAACCAAGCUUUUGCAUCACAUGCCCUCUAACCAUUCUCUGGGAACUUUACAGAGGACUGGGGAUUUAACAAUAAACAUUUAUUUCAUUGCAAAUUUUAGGAUCAAUUAUUGCAAUGCACUAUACUUUGUGGCUCUUUAAUCUGGGGGCUGGAUUCAACCAAACAGUUGUGAUAGCAGGAGCUAGUGCAACAAGUCCUGCUAAUGCAAUAAGCCUUUCCCCUUCUCCUCCUCAUGCUCUCCAUGGCCUAAUCAGCUGUGGUUUCAUCCUUCUUGACUAUGGGCUUUGUCUUUUCUGCUGCUUCAGCCACAGAAUUAAGUCUAGGAGCAAGUCUUAGGUUCCUGCAAUGUCAUCUUAGGGCCUGUCCAUUUUCCAUUUGUACUCUAUACCUGUGGUUCCUAAUCUUUUUGGUAAGGUUACCCACAACUCCAAUUUUUUUAUGAUAGGGUGACCCAUCUUUCUAUUGCUACAUGAAUUUUGGACCUUAGGUCUUAGGCAGCUGUCAAUUUCCUGCAUUUUAAUUGCAAGUAUGCUUAGUUGUCUCAAGUAUUUAUUUAAUACCCCUAAUCUUGCCGACUUUGUUGAAAUCUUUAUAGUACUUACAUUUAUUCGGUUAUUUUUAUGGGAAAGUAAGCGCACCAGGUAUCUGAUUGCAAGAUACUGCUUCAUUUGCUAUAAAACUUCCACCUCUACACUGGCCUCUUGGUGAAUAAGAGGUACUGCUAGUCUCCUCCCACUCUUGUUCCUAACGUAGAUCUUCACUCACCCCUUCUUCCCUGGCCUGGCGAGAGGCACCAUUUUGUGGUUUGUCUCAGGUACCAAAAUGUCUUGGGCCAGCUCUGGCCCUGAAUAACCAAGGUCUUCAAUAGUUGAAGCAGUGCCUAGUGCCUCUAUCAUUAUCACCGAAAUCAGGCUUCUUGGCUACUUGUGAUAACAGUAGCCCAUUGUAUGGUGACUUCUUGGUGGUGCAUGCCAGCUGCUGAAUCCCCUGCUAAUACAAGGUUGUUUUUCCUCAUUUCUGAGGUUUCAGCAGUGUCUGAAGACACUGGGACAGACAGACUGAGGUAUUCAGGAUCAUUGUAGUUAUUGUUCACUGCUCUAUUGCAUUGUAUUGCUUUGAGUUGAUCAUUUGUAAAUGUUAUUGGAUUGUAUUUUAAUGGAUAUUAAUUGAUUUUUUAAUAAAACAAUUAUAAUUAUGUAUUGUAAUUAGAACCCUGGGAUCUUAUAGAUGUAGAACAGUUUUAGAAAGAUAGAUAGAAAGAAAGAAAGAAAGAAAGCAAGAAAGAGGCUGUGAUCCUAAUCAAACAUACCUGAAAAUAAAUUCCAAUGAAAUAAAUUACAAAUAAAUGUAAUUUUUAUGAUUGGGGUGUCUAUUUCUUUUCUUUUCUUUACAUCUGCUUCUUCAGGAUUUGUUUACAUGUUAGUGUUCCAGUAAGAAUUACCCAUUCAUGACAUUCUUCAAUUUGUUUACACAAUCAAGAAUUUAAUUGUGUGGCUGGUAUGCACAAUAAGCAAGGAGAAUUACCCUAGUUAAUUAGGCACUCUUAACUUGCAAGCGGAAGCAUGGUCAUAAGGUGCACAGAGGUAGGGGAAUUCAGAAUUUAAUACAAGCACUGACUGACCUAAUUAAGCCCCAAGAUAGAAAACAAGUCUCAUAGGUGGAAAGGCCAUAUACAAUGUUUUGUAAAAUGAUAAAGUUUUCCUUGAUUAUAGAAGUUAAGGUGGUAGCUGAGAAAAUGGGACAUGUUCUAGGGAAGGAACAUGUGCCCAUAUAACCUGUUCAAUAUACACCAGCAGCAUGUGACAAAGAUACUUAAUACAUAGGUCCAUUUUAAGGGUUUCUUGUAUGAAUCGGGGAAUGUGUGUGGCUUUUUUAUGGUUGUGAUUUAUUUAUUCAUCACCCUCCACACACAUGCAUCAAGGGGAUGUACCAAAAGGCAAUAAAACAUCUAAAAUAAAACAAUUAAAAUCAGGCAUGCCAACUUGAAUAAAAUACUGGGGGGGAGGAGGUAAGCCCCACCCUGCAUAAUCGGUCGCAUGAUGCACACCAUUUGAAUGGCAAUGGCCAUCAACUUGGGGGGGGGGGGGAGGACCGGUCCCCUCAAAUCAUUUAUCGAGGGAGCCAAAGCCCCCUCGGCCCUAGGAGUUGGCUUCUAUGAUUGAAAUCAAGACAGAAAAUAACAGCAUUUUUUUUAAAAAGUAGACACUCAUGGCAAAUAUCUAUUCAUCCAGCUGGAAAAGCUUGCUGAAAGAAAAAGGCCCUAAAUGGCAAGUGCAGAUAGAGGGCAUCUGCUGUAUCUCAACAGGAAUGCUGUUCCUCAGAACAGGAUCAGCUACACAAAUAGCCUUUUCUAACUUACUCUGGAGUGAGCUUCUGAGAUCUUUGGAACCUGGAAAAGAAGCUGUCCCACAGACUUUAGCCAGCUGGUCUUGAGCUGCAAAGGACCUGUUAGUGCCAAAACUUUGAACUUGGCAUGGAAGGUGCCUAAAGAAGCCAGGGUGGCUAUCUAAAGAACUUUUAACUGAGUUAAGAUUAAAAAAGGAUGUGUACAAAAAAUGGAAAAGGGGGGAAACCACCAAAGAGGAAUUCAAACAAAUAGCCAGCACGUGUAGACACAAAGUCAGAAAAGCUAAAGCACAGAAUGAACUCAGGCUUGCUAGAGAGGUUAAAAGCAACAAAAAAGGCUUUUAUGGGUAUGUUCGUAGCAAAAGGAAGAACAAAGAAACAGUGAGGUCACUUAGAGGAGAAGAUGGUGAAAUGCAAACAGGGGACACAGAAAGGGCUGAACUCCUCAAUGCCUUCUUUGCC
This is a non-coding RNA of Podarcis lilfordi (Lilford's wall lizard), 63288 nucleotides long. NCBI's taxonomy places the organism in Eukaryota, Metazoa, Chordata, Lepidosauria, Squamata, Lacertidae. The record is from the annotation of a GenBank genome assembly.